Molecule: long non-coding RNA, 56302 nt
Filed under: Brassica napus (rape)
Lineage: Eukaryota; Viridiplantae; Streptophyta; Magnoliopsida; Brassicales; Brassicaceae
Description: long non-coding RNA (BNAP_LNC024398)
Rfam family: Plant small nucleolar RNA R71 (bases 33714-33820)
Source: RNAcentral
UUGUUUUUUUUGUGUGUCAAAUGCAUGCAACUGCAACCGUUAGCAAAUGUAAUAAAACCAAUCUACCAUUUAGAAAGAAAGAAAUAUAGAAGAUACUUUCCCAUCCAAAUAUGAUAAUAAUCACGGAUUAGCACUUGUAUCCGGUAACGGAUUUUUCAAAAUCGAAGGUUACUAAGUUAGAGAUCAAACACUGAGUAUUUUUGGGAGUGGGCAUGCCUGCCUGCCCUUCACAGGAGAUUCCUGCUAAUCCAUCACACAUUAACUAAACGUCUACGCGCGUGUUCCAAACAAAGUGGUUUACACGUUCCUAAUGACAACUGAACUCAGACGUAUAAAGGUCAGAGGGAUGCGAUCCCCUUUCUCUAGGUCGACGAAUGCUCUAUUUUUUUUUUGUUUAUCUCAAUCAAAUUGUGGAUAUUGAUUGACAAUCAAAGAUAUUCAAAGCUUGACAAUGUCAAAGGAUGUAUUAAAAUCUUUUGCCAAACAAAUAAUAAAAGUCAUGGAUGUAUUAAUAGCUGGCUAGUUAAAUUAUUUCUGUUAAUUAAAAGGCUAAAGUUUUGACUUUUGAUCUGCAAGCUAGCGGAGGGCACUUAAACGACAUAUACGUAUCACAUUCUAUAAAAUGAACUCAGAUUCCCAAAGACGACCAUACCAGAUACAUUACGACUUAGAUAUAUAAUAAAAAUGCCUUGUAAGUUUUUUUCCUUUAAUCAUAUUGUGUUAUUUUUUUGAGAAAUUCCCUAACAUAAUUUUUUUUUUUAAUUUUUGUCGUAAAAAUAACUGUCAAUGAAAAAAAUGACCGAAAUAAAUUUUAUUAAUUUAACCUUAUAAUUAACUAAUCUAGACUUAAGAUUUAGAGUUAAGGGGCGAUAUUUUGGGGAUAGAGUUUCAAAUUUUAAGAAAAUAAAAAAUUAAAAUUUUCAAAAUAAAAAAAUGCUAUUUUGGUCAUUUUAUUUUUUGAGAACUAUUUUGUGACAAAAACUUAAAAAAACUAUUUGAGAGAAUUGCCCUAUUUUUUUUUGGUGCAACAUCAUAUUGUGUUAUUGGUUACCGCUUUUAUUGGUUUGUUCAUCCUAUUUUUUACCUUCUAAUCAAAUGCCUCUUUUUGUUAUUUUUCUAAACUAAUAUUUUCUUAGUUACGCUGACUAAUCUCUCCUUUUGUUUUUCAUGUUCACGUGCUAUGUUAUGAUGUAACAAUUAAUCUAAUUAUAUCAGUUUAUAUGUGUUAUUGUGGAUGGAUCUCUAAAAUGCCAAACGUAACUAAAUGAUCGAUAUAAUUAAUUAACGUACGUCGUAGCUUUGACUUCAUGUAGUGAAGACGUGGCCGGAGCUUGUGGGAACACAUGGAGACGAUGCGGCUUCAGUGAUAAAAAGAGAGAACCCGAGCUUUAAUGUUUUCGUGCUUUAGAUUGGAAGUAUAGUGACUGCAGACUUAAGGGAGAACCGGGUCAGAGUUUGGGUACUCAUAUAUGGACCACAAUUACUCUAUAGCGUAAUGCCAAUAAAACAAACUUAUCAAAAAAAAAAAAUGUCAAUUAAACAAACCAAUACAAUGCAUGGUUGUUGCCUUGUUGGUAACUCCAGCGUUCGUUUCCGCCAGAACGGUUACUAAUGUCCAAACUUAUAUAUUAAUGUAUGUUUCUGACUAAAGUAUUUGUUUGCAGUUGAAUAAAAUUAACAUUUUAGUAUUAGAGACAAAGUCUUAUAUCAAAGUUAGAAAUGAUCUUAAUUAGUAUAUAAAUGUUAUAUGUUAUGAGCCACUUUAGUUAAUGUUAAUUGAUUUUAGUUGGAGAUUCAUUAACUUAAAACUGUAUAAAUUAAAAGUCCAACCCAUAAUCAAUUUAACCAAAAACUGAUCUAUUAACAUUUGCAAAAGUAUUCCAAAAUUAAUAGUCGAGACUCAUCAUCUUGAAUGGAGGUGAUUGAGAUAAAAUUGUAGUAUGUAAGUGAUGUUAUGAGUUAAUCAACUUAUUUUCUAUUGGUUUUUAAUUGAAAAACAUCUAAUUUAAUAUAUAAUAUAUUACUGUACUUAGAGAUAUAUUGGGGUAUUAGUAUCCCUAAUAUCCACUGUAAAGUACCUACCAUUAAAAUGUAAUUAUAGUUAAAUUAUAACACUGAGAUCUUUGUAAUAUGAACUUGAACAUUUGGACUUUGAAACAGCUGAAAAAAGUUGGUGAAACUGAGUUGGUGGGUAUGCAAAAUUCCCACAUGUCAUUUACAAAUACAAUAUGUAUAAGAAACAAAAACAAUAAAUAUUAUUUGUCUAUAUAAACCAAAUAAUCCUCAAGAGUGAUUUGUUCGGUACAGACAACUUCAACGAUGGGAUCGUUGGUUCAGAAAUCGGCUUUACUGCUAUGCGGAGACUACAUGGAAGCGUACGAGACCCUGGUUCCUCUCUACAUCCUCCAAUCGUUCGGCGUCAGCGUCCACUGCGUUUCCCCCAACCGCAACUCCGGCGAUCGCUGCGUUAUGGCUGCCCACGAUUUCACGGGCCUGGAGCUAUACACGGAGCUAGUCGUUGACCAGUUGACUUUAACCGCCAGCUUCGAUGACGUCACUCCCGAUAACUACGACGCCAUCAUCAUCCCCGGGGGACGGUUCACGGAGAUUCUCAGCGCCGACGAGAGGUGCGUCGACCUCGUUGCUCGGUUCGCCGAGCUCAAGAAGCUGAUCUUCACCAGCUGCCAUAGCCAGGUCAUGCUGAUGGCCGCCGGAGCUCUCGCCGGAGGUGUGAAGUGCACGGCGUUCGAGAGCAUGAAGCCUCUGAUCGAAUUCUCCGGCGGCGAGUGGUGGCAGCAGCCUGGGAUACAGAACAUGUUCGAGAUCACGGACUGCGUCAAGGACGGGAAUGUCGUGAGUAUGGUUGGAUGGCCGACGCUUGGUCACGGGGUUAGGGUUUUGCUGGAGUCUCUUGGGGGGCAAGUCUCGAGCUUGAAGGAGAAUCAAGCUUCUGUGCUUUUCCUCAUUGGGGUAAGUUCGAGUUUUACUGUAUGUUCUUGUUCUAUAGUAUGUUUGAAUUAGGCAUCGGUUUUGGUUUAUUCUGUUAAAUCGGUUAGGACAAUUCAAUCUUCGGUUAGUUCAGUUUAUCCACAAUCUCACCGAAUUAGACCAAAACAAAUUUUGGUUAUAUUUGGUUUAUUUUCCUUGGUUAGUUUUGAUCAGUUUUUUUUUGUUAUUUUGGUUUGGAAUUUUGUUAAUUUUAUUUUUUCAAUUAAAUUUUGGUUUAAACAUGCAUGUUUAAAACUGGUUAAUAUUCGGUUUAUUUUCCUUGGUUAGUUUGGAAUCUUUUUGUUAUUUUGCUCCGAAGUUGGUUAACUUUUUUUGUUACAGAACCAAACUAAUCGAUUAUCAAACCAAAAAAACGGAUUUUUCAAAAGUUUGCCAAAUUGAAAACUGAACUCAUAACGGUUCUUAACCGAAACCAAAAUUUUUGUUCGGCUGAUUCUGGUAUAUAAUCCUAGGGCUGCUUUGAAUAGUUGGUGUUGUGUUGGAUUUGAAGGACUAUGUAGAGGACUAUGGGAUCAAUGUACCAUUUAGAGCACUACAAGCUUUAGGAUGUAAAGUGGAUGCAGUGACACCGAACAAGAAGAAGGGAGAGAUGUGUGCAACAUUAGUUUAUGACCUUGAGGAGGCAAGGCAGCUUCCUGCAGAGAAGCGAGGGCACAACUUCCUUGUGACUGCGUGUUGGGACGAUGUAUGCGUUGAUGACUAUGACUGUGUAGUGGUUCCAGGAGGGAGAUCACCUGAGCUACUAGUGAUGAAUCCAAAGGCUGUUGCUUUGGUCAAGAAGUUUGAUGAGAAAGAUAAGGUCUUUGCAGCUAUUGGACAGGGUAAAUUGCUGCUUGCAGCCACCGGUGUACUUAAGGUAAGUCACUACUUCUUCACCAUCUAGUGAAUUGUAAUUUAUUUGCAUCGACUAUGCAAAAUGUGAUUUAGUUUUUGGUAGAUGGAGGAAACAAUAUGAUCAUGAAUGUGUAUAUAAAGUCAUGUAUCUAGUAUCAUUUCUUGGUCAUGUGACAUUUCUUUUAAUGAAACUCUAGGGGAAGCGAUGCGCUAGUGGAAAGGGGAUGAAGGUCAUGGUAAAGGUGGCUGGAGGUGAAGCUGUUGUGUCAAAGGGAUGUGUGACUGACGGAAAGCUUGUGACGGCUGCAUCAGCCUCAGAUCUGCCAGCGUUUUUGUCUGGUUUAUCAACUGCUCUUGGUGUCUCUGUCAUGUUCUAAGAUUAUUCAAGAAGGGAACAUAAAAGAUAGUUUGGAUAAUAAAACAUAACUUACAAGCUAAGCCCGUUUGGUUCCGCACACAUGGUCACAGCUGUAAUUGCUAGUAAGAAUCUUCAUAUUAAUCCACUUAUAGCAAUGCACUAGUAUUCUCGAAUAACUAUAGAGGAAAAAAAGCAACAGAAGUAACAAAAGAGCUUAAGCUUUCAAGGUAAAACAUAUCAUAUAUCUAUAUAGGGAAGUUUAUUCAAACAUGAUUAGGACAAUUGACUAGAACCAUACAAAUUUUUUUUUUAUUAUUGGUAUUUUUUAAAUACCAAGCGUACUUUUUUUUUACGUUAUUAGAAAAAACGUAUUUACAAGAAUGUCAUUACUUUUCGCUGCCACGUAAGCAAAAACCCGGCGCCACGUAAGAAUUUGGUUCCGUGUUUUCAUUAAGUCAGCCGUAAAUAACUACAUACUUCGUUACGGCUGAUUUAUUGCUACGUGUCGGCUGAAUUAAUAAACGCGGCUGACUUCAGAGGAAAAUGUUGAUUUAAGAACAUAAGUCAGCCGCCCGGUACGGCUGAUUUACAGAAAUGUGGCUGAUUUAUGGGAUAACGACUGACUUACAGACGUAAGUUACGGCUGACUUAUACAUCGGCGGUUUGAUUGCUGGAAUAUUCGGCUGAGUUAUAGUUAAGACACAGCUGAGUUAUGUUUCCACGGCUGAGUUAAUGAAUUACGACUGGCUGAGUUGUUUAAUUUACGGCUGGCUAAUGGGAUGUUGUUACGGCUGAAUUUAUAUUUAAUCAUCCGUAAUAGGAUGGAUUAACAGUAAACUCUGCUUGUUUACAACUGACUUAUUAGCGAAAGAUUAAUUACUAGAAUAGCAUUCGUUUGACGGCUGAUUUAUGGUUUUUCAUCCUAAUUACGGCUGGUUUCGGAUCAAAAGAUUAAUUACUGAAAUAGUAUCCACGGUUCGGCUGACUUACAUUGUACAUGAGAACUGAUUUACGUAGGCUAAGUUAUAUAUUCGUUUGUCGGCUGAUUAAGUGAUUUUCCAUGUCAUCCGCCAUGUCAUCAACUCGGAUUUGCCAUGUCACUCCUAACGAACUACUUUACAACUAGGUUUGUGUGUGUUCCUCUUUUUCUUCAUCUUCUUUAUCUAUCUAUCUCUUUAUCUUCUUCAUCUUAUUCUUCAUCUUUCUCAGAGAUCUAAUGGAUCCAGUAAUUAUUGUUUUCUGGUAACUGGAUUAAGAAAAACAGAUAUCUAUUCAACGCCGACAGUAGAUGGUGUAGAGUUCUUCAUUUAUAUGAGAAAACAAAACAUGAAGAAUUCGUAAAGUCUGUACUCGAUGAUUACGAAUUGAAUGAAUUGAGGCAUCAGAAAACAAUUGCGCACGACGCUCCACCAGUUUACGGAGAACAAGGACCCAGAAAUGAAUCGGAAUGACAGAGCAAGAGAGAGACGAGUAAAACGUUUUUCAGUUUUAGCUCAGAAGCAGAAGUUUCAGAUGUUGAAUCCAGAGACGAAAACUACAGUGGGAGUUACGAUGAACAGAGCACUAUCGUAUGUUUUUAUAUUACGGCUCGGUUAUGUAUUUUAAUGUUUUCGUAUUACAGCUGAGUUAUGGUUUUUUUAUGUUUCUGUGACACGACUGAGUUUUGUGGUUUAAUGUUUUGUGAUACGGCUGAGUGGAUGAGUUAUGGAUUAAUUUCCUGCUCAAAAAACAAAACGUCGCAAACCGAAACGUCGCGAUAAUAUUACCGUUAUUUGCCUAAAAAUAAUGUGUCUACUCGAACAGUACAGCUUUAAACUCUCUAAUUUACACAAUUACUCUCUAUCUCUAUUUUACACAAUUACUCUCUAUCACCCCUCUCUUCAUCAAUGGAAUAUUUCCCGAUUCUUGAAAUGCCUGAAGAAAUUCAGGCGUUGGUGGUUGAACGUGUAGCCGGUCACUCCUUCCAAGAUCUCUAUGGCCUCAGAGCAUCGUGCAAUUUGAUGAAGGCGUUCGCAGAUCGGCGUAGGGUAUGCCAUUUUUACGAUGUGUUAUCAGUUCCCUAGGGACUCAAUAUGCCUGCUGAGUUGUUGAAAACUUGCUACGCUGAGAGAAAUCCAAGCACACUUUUUAUAAAGGGUGUUCAGUUUGUCUUCACAUUAGACCUUGAAGAAGAAGGAGUUGCUCUCAUGAAGCUUGCAGCGGAUGCAAGAUAUGAGCGUGUUGUGUAUACACACGCAAUGACUCGGAAAAUCUUUUGGGAUGAUGAUGAGGAGUAUUUUGCUCGUUUUCCAAGGGAAUCCAUUAUCAGGAUCGGGAAAUUAGUGCGAUCUUUGAAAUGGGGAUGGGGUUUGUGGCACGGUGACGUGUUCCGUGCAAAGAGGGCCGAGUUCAUUUGAGCGUUUGUUCCGUCGUUCUGCAGUUGCCAAUGUGCUCCUCUUUUGAAGCGAGAAUGUCUUUGCUUGUGGCACAUUGAUACCACUAAGGAUGACAACAUGUGUGACCGCUGUUUCUGGAUCAAAGUGGUGGGGCUGUUCUUCCGUGACUUUGAACCAAUUAGUUUGAUUAGGGACACAAGGAAGUGGUGAAGUUGCAUUGUAUCAGAAACCUAUAUUUUUUUGUUCUUUGUUAUGCCAUUAUGUAUGUAGAACAACAUAUUUAUGUAUGAGUUUAUGUUAAUGGUUACGGCUGAGUUUUCGUUUAAUUACGGCUGAAUUAUCAUUUAAUUAUGUCUGAGUUAUCGUUAAUUUAUAUUGCUGAGUUAUCAUUUAAUUAUGUCAAAGUUAUCGUUAAUUUACGGCUGAGUUAUCGUUUAAUUAAGUCUGAUAUAUUUUUAUGUCCGUUAAUGUUUUCGCCCCUCUGUAACCUUUGUCGUCAACAGUUCACGUUUCUCCGUUAAAACAAAACGCUCUGUUUCAUUUAAAGAGAAAACGUCGACAUGUUAGCUCACAGAAGUUAAAAUCGAGGCUCAUUCCAAAAACCCCCAAAUUUGAAAAUUAGGAUUCUUCAGAAGAGAUGAUUAACUGUAAGUCUCUUUCGUCAAAUCUGAGAUCAUAUACUGUUUUUUUUACUUGAUUCUAUAAAAUCGCUUUGAGCAUUUUGUGUUUCGCCUUGGUAUAGUUUCAAUCAUUUUUGUGUAUUGUGAACUAGAAUUCGAUGGAUCUAGGGCGUGGAAUUCCAAGGAGGUGUGACUGUGGAGCUGCUACUGUUGUGUUAACGUCAAAUACCGCAAGGAAUCCGGGAAGAAGGUUUUAUCGUUGUGGAGCAAUUUCGGGUGAAAACCAUGUUUUCAAAUGGCUUGAUGAAGCACAUGAUGAAGAGUUUGUAGUUGUGGCAAACAAACUGGCGACGAUGGAGCAAGAUUUGGCCGACAUUAAAGUAGACUUAGCUGAUAUGAAGAACGACAUAAGUGAGAUCGUAGCACUUAUCGAGGGUCUUAGGGUGAACUGUUUGAUGUAUUAGUUGUUGUUGGGAGAAAUAAAAAUGUAGUCUUUUAAUUAUCAUUUAAUUAUGUCGGAGUUAUCGUUUAAUUUACGGCUGAGUUAUCGUUAAUUUACGGCUGACCUAUCGUUAAUUUACGGCUGAGUUAUCGUUUAAUUAUGUCUGAGUUAUCGUUAAUGCAAAGUCUUAUCAAACUUUGUAAAUAAUAAAGUAUUAUCGUCUCGAUGUUAUAAAGGCCUCAAUAUUAGUUCUGAGCCGUAUUUUCUACACUUUUGAAGCGCCAUAAUUAAUUAUCAACACGGUCAAAUCAAGAAAGACGAAACGUCCCAUUAUUAUAAUGGACGUUUAAUAUUAUAGAAAAGUAUUACCGUGAAUGUUAAAUCAGGUUUUAAAUACUAAAGUAUUAUAAAGGCCUCGAUAUUAGUUCUAAGCCGUAUUUUCCACACUUUUGCCGUAUUUGACACACUCAGCCGUCCCGAUAAUAUUAACGGAUGAGUUAUAUUCUGAGUUAAAUAAUAAAGUAUUACCGUCUCGAUCUCUAUGAAGACCUCGAUGUUAUAUUAACCAACAUGGCUGAGUUAUAUCAACCAUCAUUGCUUAGUUAUAUUAACGUUACAUUAAUGGAUUAUUUCCAGAUUCUUGAAUUGCCUGAAGAGAUUCAUGCAUUAGUGGUUGAACGUGUGGCCGGUAACUCCUUCCAAGAUCUCUAUGGCCUCAGAGCAUCGUGCAAAGAUUCUUGAAUUGCCUGAAGAGAUUCAUGCAUUAGUGGUUGAACGUGUGGCCGGUAACUCCUUCCAAGAUCUCUAUGGCCUCAGAGCAUCGUGCAAGUUGAUCAAGGCGUUUGCAGAUCGGCGUAGUGUAUGCCAUUUUUACGAUGUAUUAUCUGUUCCCUGUGGACUCAAUAUGCCUGCUGAGUUGUUGAAAACUUACAAAACUGAGAGAAAUCCAAGCACACUUUAUAUGAAGGGUGUACAGUUUUUCUUCACAUUUAACCUUCAGGAAGAAAGACGUGCUUACAUGAAGCUUGCAGCGGAUGAAAGAUAUGAGCGUGCUGUGUAUACAUACGCAAUGACUAGAAAAUGGUUUUGGGGUGAUGAGGAGUGUUUUGCUCGCUUUACAAGGGAAUCAGUUGAUAGGAUCGGGAAACUAGUUUGAUCUCUAAAAUGGGCAUGGGGUUCUCUUCAAGGUGACGAGUUUCUGGCAAAGAGGAACGAGUUCAUUUCAACCAUUGUUCCUUUGUUCUAUAGUUGCCAAUGUGUUCAUGUUUUGGAGCGAGAUUGGGUCUUGUGGUUCAUUGAAAACAGUAAGGGUGACAAAAUGUGUAACCGCUGUUUCUGGAUCAAAGAGGUGGGGCUAUUCUUCCGUGAGUUUGAACCGAUGAGCGUGAUUAGGGACACAAGGGAGUGGUGAAGAUGGAUUGUAUCAGAAUCUUAUAUUUUUUUAAUGUACUUUGCUAUGACAUUAUUACGGUUGGGUUAUAUUUUACUUUAUUGAUGAGUUGUCUUUUAACUACGUAAUCUUAUAUUUUUUUAAUGUACUUUGCUAUGACAUUAUUACGGCUGGGUUAUAUUUUACUUUAUUGAUGAGUUGUCUUUUAAUUACGGCUGAUUUUUGUUUAUGGCUGGGUUCUCUACAAUUACGGCUGAGUUUUAAUUUCAUAAUGACUGAGUUAUCGUUACUUGGCAGUGAUAUAUAAAUACGACAUGACUGAGUUAUUUAAAUGCGAGACGGCUGAGUUAUUGUUACAUAAAGGCUGAGAUAAUGCUAACUUUUUGGCUGAGUUUUGUAAAAAAAUCCAAGAUACAUACAAGGAAUCCGCCAUGUCAUCAACUCGGAUUUACCAUGUCAUCACUAACGAACGAAAUUUACAACUUGGUUUAUGAGACUGUUCAUGUUCUUCUUCAUGUUAUUUAUCUAUCGUUUUCAUCUGUCUCAGUUGGUUAUGGAUCCGGUAGUUAUUGUUUCCGGUAACUGGAUUAAGAAAAACAGAUAUGUAUUCAACGUCGACAGAAGAGGGUGUAGAGUUCUUCAUUUAGAUGGGAAAACAACACAUGAAUAUUUCACAAAGUCUGUUCUCGAUGAUUACGGAUUGAAUUAUUUGAGGGAUCAUAUUCAGCUUAGCUACAUGUUUUCGAAUAAAGCAUUGAAAACAAUGUCGCACGACACUCCACUAGUUUACGUGUCCAAUACUCGACAAUUGCAAGGUUUUAUAAGCCUAAAGAAAAUAGAACAACUACGUCUCUGUGUGGAGAUUACGGAGAACAAGGAUGACAAAGCAAGAGAGAAGAGUAACGAGAAUGACUGCUCAGAAGUAGAAGCUUCAGAAGUUCAGUCCAGAGACAAAAACUACAGUGGGAGUUGAGAUGGUUGCAGUUUUGAGAAGGUACAAGAGGACAAUGAGAAUGACUGCUCUAGUAAUGUGGAAGGAGAAAUACACGACAUAGUCAGAGAAGAUGAAAUAGGCAAAGAAAACGAAGAAGAUGAUGAAUUUGAAAGCCGAUUUGAUAUGUUCGACGACUCGGACGGUGCGUCAUCUGAAGAUGAUAACUUCAGCUCAUACGGUGAGUCUCCUACAGAAAACGAAGAUUCACCAACGCUACCUCCCAAGAAGAGAUAUCAGAACUUGUCGAUGAGCGGACCUAAAGGGAAUCUGGAGGUUCUAAAGUUGGAGAUGUCGUCGAUAGACCUUGCGGUAGGGCAACGAUACGAGAGUAAAGACGAUUUGGAGAGACGAUUGAAACUUCUUACAGUGAGAUAUCGAUUUGAUUUUGAUCGACCCCGACAUCAUACGUUGUUAAGUGUUGGGUUGAUGGAUAUCUCUGGAGAGUUCGUGCUUUUACCCAAGGGGAAUCCCCAGAGUUUUAUGUUCGUAUUUACGAUUCGAAUCAUACAUGUUCUUGCACUGAGCGUUCUAAUCGAUCUCGACAAGCAACGCCUGAUAUUUUGGGAAAGUUGUACCAGAACUUUCUCGGCGACGUUGGUCCGACCGUUUGCCCUACGAGUGUCGGAAUAGCUAUCACUAAGCAGUUUGGUGUCAAGGUAAUCGCUUUGAUGUGGCUGAGUAUUAUAACGAUAUGGCUGAGUAAUAUGAAACGUAGCGGCUGACAUAUUAAUACAAUGCGGCUGGGUUAUAAUAAAGCUAGGGUUGAGUUAUUUUUACAUUGUGGCUGUCUUAAUUUUGUGAAGCGACUGAGUUAUGUGUAUCAUUUUUUCAUGUGAACAGAUGGAUUAUUGGAAAUCACACCGGGCGCUGAAAUUUGCAGGGGAAAUCGAUGAGGGAACACCUGAGAGGGGUUUGAAAGCUUGCCUUCUUACUUAUACAUGAUAAGUAAGAAGGGCAAAUCCGAGUACAGUUACACGUCUUCAAAUUGAUGAGCUUGGAAGAUUCAUGUAUGUGUUUCUUGCGUUUGGUACGAGCGUAAAUGGGUUUCCUUUCAUGCGCAAAGUUGUUGUCGUCGACGGUAUGUUUCUUAAUGGUAAAUACAAAGGGACGUUACUCACAGCACUAGCUCAGGAUGGUAACUUUCAGAUUUUUCCAAUAGCCUUCGCAGUGGUUGACACUGAAAAUGAUGAUUCGUGGCAUUGGUUUUUUUCGCAACUAAAACUUUUGAUUCCUGACGACGAGGGUCUUGCGAUAAUCUCGGAUAGGCAUAACUCGAUAGGGAAAGCAAUUAGAAAUGUGUAUCCGUUAGUUGCUCGGGGAAUAUGCACCUACCAUUUAUAUAAGAACAUAUUGGGACGGUACAAAGGAAAAGAUGUAUUUCGUCUGGUGAAGAAAGCGGCGAGAUGUUUUAGGAUGUCUGACUUUACUGCGAUUUUCGAGGAGAUUGAAGCGGUUAAUCCUGCACUCCACGGCUACCUCCAAAGAGCUGAUGUCCGGCUGUGGACGCGUGUUUAUUUCCUGGGCGAGAGGUACAAUUUGAUGACUACGAACAUAGCGGAAUUAAUGAACAGAGCAUUGUCUAAUGCUAUAGGUCUUAACAUUGUUCAAAUAUUAUAAUCAAUACGGGUUAUGAUGACCAGAUGGUUUGCUGAACGAAGAGAGGAUGCCAGAUCGCAGCCAACCACGCUAACGCGUGGUGUGGAGAAACUACUACAUGUAAGUCAGUCGAAAUAGUAAACGUAAGACAACCAUUAUAGUUCUUAAGUCAGCAUUAUAGUUCUUAAGUCAGCCUUUAUAUGUAAUAAGUCAGCCGUUUCACAUUUAUUCUAUUUUUCUUAAUAGGGUCGUGUAACUGCCACCAGAGAUUUGACGGUACAAAGGAUUGAUGAUCAUCACACUGAAGUUAAAUAUUGAUCUUCUGGCGAGUAUUUGAAUGCUGUUAAUUUGGUAGAGCGAAAGUGCACAUGUCGGCGUUUCGAACGUGAAAAAUUACAAUGUGUACACGCAAUCGCAGCCGCGGAGUACAUGAAUGUUUGUCGUAUAUCCCUGUGCAGUCCUUACUAUAACAUCGCUUAUUUGGUGAGCGCAUACGAUGAAUCGGUCAUGCCGGUUGACUCAUCGCAACCUGUUCUAGAAAUCGUGGCUAACCAACCGUGCUUGCCCCCGUCUAUUCGUCAACAACCAGGAAGACCUAAGAAAAAUAGGAUGAAAUCUGCUUUAGAAGUUGCACUUCAAAACAAACGUCCUAGGAAAGAACACACAUGUUCUCGAUGUAGACAGAGUGGACAUAAUGCGAAAACUUGUCCGAUGUAAGCAAAUGUUGUAGGGAUUUUCAUGUUUUUGUAUUACGACUGGGUUUUUGGUUUUCAAGUUCUUCUUUUACGGCUGACUUUUGGAUUUUCAUGUUCUUCUAUUACGGCUGGGUUUUCGAUUUUCAUGUUCUUCUAUUACGGGUGGGUUUUGGAUUUUCAAGUUUUUGUAUUACGGCUGGGUUUUGUUUUCAUGUUUUUGUAUUACGGGUGGGUUUUGAUUUUCAUUUUUUGACGUUUUUACACGCCAAAACAAUGGCGGCAUAAUUAGCCAUUUACAGCUGAGGAAAUGGCGAAAACAUCGAAAAACGUACUUAAUAGUCCCUACAUAACUUAAUAGCCCCUACGUAAUUAUUGAUGUCUUGAAAUACGAAACGUCUGAGUUAUUAUAAUAAACGGCUGAUUUAUUGAAUGAAAUACAUUACGGCUGGGUUAUUAUAAAUACAUUUCUUUUACACGCCAAGAACAAUGGCGACAUAAUUAGCCAGUUACAAUUGAGGAAAAUGGCGAAAACAUCGAAAAACGUACUUAAUAGUCCCUACAUAACUUAAUAGCUCAUACGUAAUUAUUGAUGUCUUGAAAUACGAAACGUCUGAGAUAUUAUAAUAAACGGCUGAUUUAUUGAAUGAAAUAGAUUACGACUGGGUUAUGGAAUAACUUCCCGCCCAAAAUAAGACAAGUCGCAAUAUGAAAACCGUUGUGCUGCUGGUAAAUAAGGAACAAUUACAUGUUCAACUCUCUAUUGUUUUACAGAAUUGCUCUCUCUCUCUAAAUCAAUUUCACCCCCCUGAGAGUAAAUUGAAUAUUUCCUGAUUCUUGAAAUGCCUGAAGAAAUUCAGGCGUUGGUGGUUGAACGUGUGCCCGGUAACUCCUUCCAAGAUCUCUAUGGCCUCAGAGCAUCGUGCAAGUUGAUGAAGGCGUUCGCAGAUCGGCGUAGUGUAUGCCAUUUUUACGAUGUAUUAUCCGUUCCAUGGGGGCUCAAUAUGCCUGCUGAGUUGUUGAAAACUUGCUACGCUGAGAGAAAUCCAGGCACACUUUAUAUAAAAGGUGUACAGUUUUUCUUCUCAUUCAGCCUUAAAGAAGUAGGGCUUUCUGUAAUAAAGCGUGCAGCAGAUGCAUGAUAUAAGCGUGCUGUGUAUACACACGCAAUUACUCGAGCAAUCUUUUGGUGUGAUGGGCAGUAUUUUGAUGGUAUUCCAAGAGAAAUAGUUGAUAGGAUCGAGAAACUAGUGUGAUCUGUCAAAUGGGGAUGGGGUUUGUGGCAUUCUGACGAGUUCCGUCAAAAUAGGGCCAAUGUGCAAAUCUUGUGGAGCGAUAAUGUCUCUGCUUGUGGCACAUUGAUGUGACUAAGGAUAACAACAUGUGUGACCGCUGUUUUUGGAUCAAAGAGAUAUGCAUGUUCUUACGUGAUUUUGAACCGAUAAGCCUGUUUAGGGACACAAAGAAGUGGCAAAGAUGUAAAGUUCUCAUGUUCUUUGCUAUGCCAUUAUGUAUGUCGAACAACAAAUUAAUGUAUUGAAGGCUGAGUUAUUGUUUAAUGACGGUUGAGUUACUGUUUAAUGACGGUUGAGUUACAUAAAACAUAGGCUGACUUAUAAUUACAUAAAACAUAGGCAUAGUUUAAUUGUGGCUGAGUUAUUGUGUAAUCACGACUGAAUUAGAUCUGACUUAAUAAAGGUUACGGCGUAAGUCUUCAUAAAACAUAGGCUGACUUAUAAUUACAUAAAACAUAGGCUGACUUAUCAUUAGUAUGAAGCCUGAGUUAUUUAAUACGUUAAGUCUGAGUUACAUAAAACCUAGGCUGACUUAUAAUUACAAAACACGACUACACACAAUAGUAGUAGUAGCAAAGUAACGCCAUUCUAACCCCACAAACAACCACAUUCCUCAAAGACCGACCCUGACUCAUACAUUCUUCUCCUUUUCUCCCAGAUUCCGUCUUCAGUCCUUCAAUCUCUUUCUCCAAACGAGCAACGUUAAGUCUGAAUUCGGAGAUGUCUUUGUUCAUGCCACUUAUCAGUGACUUAAUAUCCUCAACCUCUACCACCAAACACUCAUCCGCCCAUUUGAGUAAAUGUCUAUGUUUUAACAAAUAUAACCUAGAUCUAAGUAUUACGUUACAGAACAUGCGAAAUAAGAACCAAAACAAACCUUGCUAUAUCCUUUAGCGCAGCAAUAGUACAAUCUUUCUGGAUUUGUAUAAAUUUUGAGUAAAAAUUUUAGAGGGUUCACCACACCAACAUUGUAUCGGCGUUCCUCUUUCCGCGUUCAAACGUCGUCUGUAAGAAUUUUUUGAAACGCAGGAUGAGGAAGACAUUUUUAUUCUCAAUAAAAUUUCAAAAAAAAACAUUAGUGUGACUUUAGGGUGAGUAAGAAGACGACAUCGUGAAACAACAACGUUUACUUUUUUUUCCUUUUUAAGUAUUAAAUAUAUAAAAAUUUAAUGUCUCGACAUUGUAAAUUACUCGACACAUGCGUGCCAGCAGUUUAUUUCAAACUCAUCAUAAUUAGUCUCGAUAUUCUCAUAUUGUUGGCGGAGUUAUUCCUCACACGCCAUAAUUAAUCGACAACUUAGUCCAAUCAAACAAGUGGAAACGUCUCAUUAAUAAUGAAAUGGGCGAGCGAUAAUCUACGUUGUGGUAUAGACCUUCACUAAAACAUUCACGACUGAGUUAGAUUAGUACGUUUUGGCUGAGUUAACUUAACGUUGUGGCUGAGUUAUAUUAACAUUCACAGCUGAAUUACCUUAUACGUUUUGACUGAGUUAACUUAAAGUUGUGGCUGAGUUAUGUUAACAGAUACGGCUGAAUUACAAUACAUAAGUUAAUACGAAUUCGACAUGUCGAAUUACAUUCAGAAACAUAAAAUAUCAGGUUCAAAAUACAGACAACGCAUCACUCUCAGAAACCAAAAUUGUCAGGACCAAACUCUUCAAACAUGUGGACGAGAUCACGCCAAACUCUAGAAAUGGCGCAUCUGGCAACAAAAUAGCGUUCUGGCCACAAGAUUAAAAUGUGUCCAAACUGUCGAAUUAUGCCUUCGAUCCCACGUGCUUUUGCGCUACAACAAAAAAUAUUACAAAACUGAUGUUAAGAACACAGCUAAUGUAGACAGAGUGGACAAACUAUUAAUAUAUCUAAUAUGGACACAUAUCCCGUCCUUACAGCGAGUUGAAGAAACCAGUGUUCCUUAAUAUGAUUGGGAAUGGCGCGGUAUGUCGGCCAAUCAUGAACCCAUCCUUCUACAAGAAUCGACGGGAUGACGAGGGAGAGAUCACUUAAAAAUUUGAACCAGGUAGUGCUGGUUGUGUCAAGCAAGUCACCCGGACCAGGGUAUAGAAGACAGAGGUUUUCACGACUUGCAGAGCUUAGUAUCGCAUUGACAUUGUUCUCUAACCUCGUUGAAUUACCAAGAACAAUCGGCAUAACUUUUGAUGGGGAUAGAGAGAUUUUGUUUAGGUUAUUUCUAGAGAGAGAAAGGCGUAAGAAAAGGUUUAAGAGAGAGGACAAUAUAUAGAGAGGUAUAUAGAACGUCAAACGUCACGAGUUAAAAUUUCCCAAGAUUCAGUUAUCUUUUUCCCGCCAAACGUCAAGAUUCAGUUAUACUUCACGGCCGAGUUACUUUAACAUUUACGGCUGACUUAGUAAUUGGGGUUUAGGGUUGCUUAUUUAGGGUUUAGGUUUGCUUUUUUGGGGAUUUUGGUUUAGGAUUUGGAUUUAUGGUGCAAGAAAUAUAAUAAAUAACACAAAUUCAUGAUAAAUAACACAAUAACAGUUUACGAGUUUUAAAUAUUGGUCACACCUUAUAUCUAAAUGUAAGGUUUUAAGUAAUCGUAUGACAACGUAUACAUCAAGAACAUGAUCGAUUUUAAACUCGUAAAUUCAAUAAAGAAGACACAUUCAGUUGAUUAUAUAUUCACUUCAAAUUGAUAAUUGGAGUUUCAAUAUAACAUUUUAAAGUAUAAACAUUUCAUUUUUUUUAUUCUAGUGUAUGUUUGAGGUAUGGCUGAGUUAUAAUAGCGUAACAGCUGACUUAUAUGAACAUUUUCGAUUUUAGAGUAUGUUUGGGGUAUUGCUGAGUUAUAAAAACGAUAUGACUGAGAUAUAUUUGCUAAAGUCAAAUACUUAAUAACUUAAGUCAAGUACAAAAUAACAAACACAGGUUCAAUUGGACAUCAAAUUGUUCAUCGCAUUAUUCCUCCUUCAUCGAGGAUCUCUGCUGCCAUCUUCACCCUUAAACCUUGAAUAUUGUUAUCGUUUAUCCCAUCAAAAGUUACACCAAGCGCUAGACACUCCACAAACUUCAACGAAUACACCCCACAAUCGCCAAUCUGGGUGUUUUGUGGAGUGUAUCUUUUGCUUCUCCUUCUGAAUGCGAACUUCUUCUUACUAGGGGAUCGGAGAUUGGCAGGAAUAAGUUCACUCAACAUCACGGAAAGCAUAAGCGUUAGCGGUUUAAAUGAAUAUAGUAUUCUCUGCUCACUUUUGGGUGUUGCAUGUCCAAAGAUUGGAUCGUAGCAAUCAAUCUUCUCCUUCUUCAGAUCCAUGUGAAACGCCACCCAGUGAUUUCCGCCGGUUUGAAGACAUCCGUACAAGUGAUCCACAUCUUCAUACCACUUCAAGUUUGUUGGACAUUCAAGGGGAAGCUUACCGUUUAUUAGAUAUUCAUAACCAUUGCCUUUGAACUUGAUCAUACUAGGUUUUAUCUUGAACUGCUUGAAAUCGUGAAUCCAAAAACUUAACACCCAAACGUCAAUGAAGGCAAUCCGCUUGGACCAGAAUGGGGUGGGAUUUCGCAUGGACCUUUUAAUGAGGACCUUUAUAUACGCACCGACAUGCUACACAAAGAAUAUUAACAAGUCAGCCGUAAUCAAAUAUAUAAGUCACCUGUAAACAAAUAUAUAACUCAGCUGUAAUAUAAUAUAUAACUCAGCCGUACUAAAGACUUACAUUAUCAAACAGCCAUCCAUAUUCCUUUUCCGGCCACGGUCUUUCAUGGAUGAGUAUGCUGUAGAAGUCACUCUCAUGAUCAGCUGAGAGGACUGCUGAUUUAUCUGCUGGUGCUGGUGGUUUGGGUGGAAUUCCCUUAAUGUGUUGCAUCAGUUUAUCGAAUAGCACCGGAUCAACAUGUGCUAGAGGGUCAUAUAUUGCUGAUGAAGGCUUAACAUUCUUCCUCAUGCACGUCGUUCCAUCGUCUCCAAUGGACGGAAAAACUGGUGGUGAAGAAACUGCCGUCAAUGCAAACCCUUUUGGAGAUAAUUGAACACAUUUCUCUCGAUAUUUCAUACGUAAUUAUUGAUGUCUUGAAAUACGAAACGUCUGAGAUAUUAUAAUAAACGGCUGAUUUAUUGAAUGAAAUAGAUUACGACUGGGUUAUGGAAUAACUUCCCGCCCAAAAUAAGACAAGUCGCAAUAUGAAAACCGUUGUGCUGCUGGUAAAUAAGGAACAAUUACAUGUUCAACUCUCUAUUGUUUUACAGAAUUGCUCUCUCUCUCUAAAUCAAUUUCACCCCCCUGAGAGUAAAUUGAAUAUUUCCUGAUUCUUGAAAUGCCUGAAGAAAUUCAGGCGUUGGUGGUUGAACGUGUGCCCGGUAACUCCUUCCAAGAUCUCUAUGGCCUCAGAGCAUCGUGCAAGUUGAUGAAGGCGUUCGCAGAUCGGCGUAGUGUAUGCCAUUUUUACGAUGUAUUAUCCGUUCCAUGGGGGCUCAAUAUGCCUGCUGAGUUGUUGAAAACUUGCUACGCUGAGAGAAAUCCAGGCACACUUUAUAUAAAAGGUGUACAGUUUUUCUUCUCAUUCAGCCUUAAAGAAGUAGGGCUUUCUGUAAUAAAGCGUGCAGCAGAUGCAUGAUAUAAGCGUGCUGUGUAUACACACGCAAUUACUCGAGCAAUCUUUUGGUGUGAUGGGCAGUAUUUUGAUGGUAUUCCAAGAGAAAUAGUUGAUAGGAUCGAGAAACUAGUGUGAUCUGUCAAAUGGGGAUGGGGUUUGUGGCAUUCUGACGAGUUCCGUCAAAAUAGGGCCAAUGUGCAAAUCUUGUGGAGCGAUAAUGUCUCUGCUUGUGGCACAUUGAUGUGACUAAGGAUAACAACAUGUGUGACCGCUGUUUUUGGAUCAAAGAGAUAUGCAUGUUCUUACGUGAUUUUGAACCGAUAAGCCUGUUUAGGGACACAAAGAAGUGGCAAAGAUGUAAAGUUCUCAUGUUCUUUGCUAUGCCAUUAUGUAUGUCGAACAACAAAUUAAUGUAUUGAAGGCUGAGUUAUUGUUUAAUGACGGUUGAGUUACUGUUUAAUGACGGUUGAGUUACAUAAAACAUAGGCUGACUUAUAAUUACAUAAAACAUAGGCAUAGUUUAAUUGUGGCUGAGUUAUUGUGUAAUCACGACUGAAUUAGAUCUGACUUAAUAAAGGUUACGGCGUAAGUCUUCAUAAAACAUAGGCUGACUUAUAAUUACAUAAAACAUAGGCUGACUUAUCAUUAGUAUGAAGCCUGAGUUAUUUAAUACGUUAAGUCUGAGUUACAUAAAACCUAGGCUGACUUAUAAUUACAAAACACGACUACACACAAUAGUAGUAGUAGCAAAGUAACGCCAUUCUAACCCCACAAACAACCACAUUCCUCAAAGACCGACCCUGACUCAUACAUUCUUCUCCUUUUCUCCCAGAUUCCGUCUUCAGUCCUUCAAUCUCUUUCUCCAAACGAGCAACGUUAAGUCUGAAUUCGGAGAUGUCUUUGUUCAUGCCACUUAUCAGUGACUUAAUAUCCUCAACCUCUACCACCAAACACUCAUCCGCCCAUUUGAGUAAAUGUCUAUGUUUUAACAAAUAUAACCUAGAUCUAAGUAUUACGUUACAGAACAUGCGAAAUAAGAACCAAAACAAACCUUGCUAUAUCCUUUAGCGCAGCAAUAGUACAAUCUUUCUGGAUUUGUAUAAAUUUUGAGUAAAAAUUUUAGAGGGUUCACCACACCAACAUUGUAUCGGCGUUCCUCUUUCCGCGUUCAAACGUCGUCUGUAAGAAUUUUUUGAAACGCAGGAUGAGGAAGACAUUUUUAUUCUCAAUAAAAUUUCAAAAAAAAACAUUAGUGUGACUUUAGGGUGAGUAAGAAGACGACAUCGUGAAACAACAACGUUUACUUUUUUUUCCUUUUUAAGUAUUAAAUAUAUAAAAAUUUAAUGUCUCGACAUUGUAAAUUACUCGACACAUGCGUGCCAGCAGUUUAUUUCAAACUCAUCAUAAUUAGUCUCGAUAUUCUCAUAUUGUUGGCGGAGUUAUUCCUCACACGCCAUAAUUAAUCGACAACUUAGUCCAAUCAAACAAGUGGAAACGUCUCAUUAAUAAUGAAAUGGGCGAGCGAUAAUCUACGUUGUGGUAUAGACCUUCACUAAAACAUUCACGACUGAGUUAGAUUAGUACGUUUUGGCUGAGUUAACUUAACGUUGUGGCUGAGUUAUGUUAACAGAUACGGCUGAAUUACAAUACAUAAGUUAAUACGAAUUCGACAUGUCGAAUUACAUUCAGAAACAUAAAAUAUCAGGUUCAAAAUACAGACAACGCAUCACUCUCAGAAACCAAAAUUGUCAGGACCAAACUCUUCAAACAUGUGGACGAGAUCACGCCAAACUCUAGAAAUGGCGCAUCUGGCAACAAAAUAGCGUUCUGGCCACAAGAUUAAAAUGUGUCCAAACUGUCGAAUUAUGCCUUCGAUCCCACGUGCUUUUGCGCUACAACAAAAAAUAUUACAAAACUGAUGUUAAGAACACAGCUAAUGUAGACAGAGUGGACAAACUAUUAAUAUAUCUAAUAUGGACACAUAUCCCGUCCUUACAGCGAGUUGAAGAAACCAGUGUUCCUUAAUAUGAUUGGGAAUGGCGCGGUAUGUCGGCCAAUCAUGAACCCAUCCUUCUACAAGAAUCGACGGGAUGACGAGGGAGAGAUCACUUAAAAAUUUGAACCAGGUAGUGCUGGUUGUGUCAAGCAAGUCACCCGGACCAGGGUAUAGAAGACAGAGGUUUUCACGACUUGCAGAGCUUAGUAUCGCAUUGACAUUGUUCUCUAACCUCGUUGAAUUACCAAGAACAAUCGGCAUAACUUUUGAUGGGGAUAGAGAGAUUUUGUUUAGGUUAUUUCUAGAGAGAGAAAGGCGUAAGAAAAGGUUUAAGAGAGAGGACAAUAUAUAGAGAGGUAUAUAGAACGUCAAACGUCACGAGUUAAAAUUUCCCAAGAUUCAGUUAUCUUUUUCCCGCCAAACGUCAAGAUUCAGUUAUACUUCACGGCCGAGUUACUUUAACAUUUACGGCUGACUUAGUAAUUGGGGUUUAGGGUUGCUUAUUUAGGGUUUAGGUUUGCUUUUUUGGGGAUUUUGGUUUAGGAUUUGGAUUUAUGGUGCAAGAAAUAUAAUAAAUAACACAAAUUCAUGAUAAAUAACACAAUAACAGUUUACGAGUUUUAAAUAUUGGUCACACCUUAUAUCUAAAUGUAAGGUUUUAAGUAAUCGUAUGACAACGUAUACAUCAAGAACAUGAUCGAUUUUAAACUCGUAAAUUCAAUAAAGAAGACACAUUCAGUUGAUUAUAUAUUCACUUCAAAUUGAUAAUUGGAGUUUCAAUAUAACAUUUUAAAGUAUAAACAUUUCAUUUUUUUUAUUCUAGUGUAUGUUUGAGGUAUGGCUGAGUUAUAAUAGCGUAACAGCUGACUUAUAUGAACAUUUUCGAUUUUAGAGUAUGUUUGGGGUAUUGCUGAGUUAUAAAAACGAUAUGACUGAGAUAUAUUUGCUAAAGUCAAAUACUUAAUAACUUAAGUCAAGUACAAAAUAACAAACACAGGUUCAAUUGGACAUCAAAUUGUUCAUCGCAUUAUUCCUCCUUCAUCGAGGAUCUCUGCUGCCAUCUUCACCCUUAAACCUUGAAUAUUGUUAUCGUUUAUCCCAUCAAAAGUUACACCAAGCGCUAGACACUCCACAAACUUCAACGAAUACACCCCACAAUCGCCAAUCUGGGUGUUUUGUGGAGUGUAUCUUUUGCUUCUCCUUCUGAAUGCGAACUUCUUCUUACUAGGGGAUCGGAGAUUGGCAGGAAUAAGUUCACUCAACAUCACGGAAAGCAUAAGCGUUAGCGGUUUAAAUGAAUAUAGUAUUCUCUGCUCACUUUUGGGUGUUGCAUGUCCAAAGAUUGGAUCGUAGCAAUCAAUCUUCUCCUUCUUCAGAUCCAUGUGAAACGCCACCCAGUGAUUUCCGCCGGUUUGAAGACAUCCGUACAAGUGAUCCACAUCUUCAUACCACUUCAAGUUUGUUGGACAUUCAAGGGGAAGCUUACCGUUUAUUAGAUAUUCAUAACCAUUGCCUUUGAACUUGAUCAUACUAGGUUUUAUCUUGAACUGCUUGAAAUCGUGAAUCCAAAAACUUAACACCCAAACGUCAAUGAAGGCAAUCCGCUUGGACCAGAAUGGGGUGGGAUUUCGCAUGGACCUUUUAAUGAGGACCUUUAUAUACGCACCGACAUGCUACACAAAGAAUAUUAACAAGUCAGCCGUAAUCAAAUAUAUAAGUCACCUGUAAACAAAUAUAUAACUCAGCUGUAAUAUAAUAUAUAACUCAGCCGUACUAAAGACUUACAUUAUCAAACAGCCAUCCAUAUUCCUUUUCCGGCCACGGUCUUUCAUGGAUGAGUAUGCUGUAGAAGUCACUCUCAUGAUCAGCUGAGAGGACUGCUGAUUUAUCUGCUGGUGCUGGUGGUUUGGGUGGAAUUCCCUUAAUGUGUUGCAUCAGUUUAUCGAAUAGCACCGGAUCAACAUGUGCUAGAGGGUCAUAUAUUGCUGAUGAAGGCUUAACAUUCUUCCUCAUGCACGUCGUUCCAUCGUCUCCAAUGGACGGAAAAACUGGUGGUGAAGAAACUGCCGUCAAUGCAAACCCUUUUGGAGAUAAUUGAACACAUUUCUCUCGAUAUUCCUUGACUACGGCAGAUCUAACCACUUCAUGAAUCUCGACAUCAGACUCCGGCGCAAAUUCGUUCUCUUCCGCAAGAACUUCGUCGUUCUUCAUAGAACAUUCACUAUCCUCUCAAGCAUGUUUUUGCUUCUUUAACUUAACAUGUUUUUGCUUCUUUAGCUCAGCCAGUUUUUGCUUCUUUAACUCAGCCUCUUAUCUCUUAGCCUCUACUUCUUGAUUCUUUAACUCAGCCAGUUUUUGCUUCUUUAACUAAGCCUCUUUUCUCUUAGCGUCAGUCUUCUCCUUCCUCUUCAACGCAGCCUCUGCCUGCACUGCUUUUUUCUUAUCAGAGGCAUCCUCAUCCUUUACAGUACACCUGCCCCUGCAGCCGCGUCUAUAGGCAGGAACCUUAGCAUCCUUAUCAUCCUUAGUAGCCUUUGAAGGAGAAACAUAUACGAAAUCAAGAUCAGUAGCUUUAGCGACACUACCAAACUCCUCAGCCAAAGUCUUUUCACCCCUGUAUCCUUACCAAACUCCUCACCCAAAGUCCUUUUCACCCUUGUAUCCUUAUCAAACUCCUCAGCUGAUGUUAGGAGUUUUCAAGGCUCCUAAUCAAAUGUUAUAGUAUAAAGGAUGUCAAACCAGUUCUAAGUGAUUCUAAAGCAAAGGGAAUGAAAGACCAUGCUUAAUCUAAAUGCUAUCAAUUGGUAAGAUGAAUUUGAACUAAAAUACUACUAAAAUGCAAUAAAGAACAAAGCUUUUCUUUCUUAUGAGAUGGGAGAAUUCAUGGGCUAAGGGAAUUGACCUUGGGUGAUCAAGUUUCAAUAUAAAGGUAGUAUCUUUCAAUCAAUCUAUCAACCUUAGACCUAGACACAAUCCUAAACAAAUUCUAUCUCUAGAUGAAUGCUCAUUCACUAAGAUAACUCAAGCAUCAAAUUUCUUUGGUUGAAUAUUAUCUAAGCAAUCAUUAAUUUCAAGUCCAUUAGCCAUCUUAACACCUUUAACAUCAAACCUCUUUGGUAAAGAAUGUUAAAAGCUUAGUAGAGUUGGUUCAGGCAUUUCAUCGAACACCUUUCGGGUGUGAAAUGCCUAAAGCUCAACUUUAGAGAGGCCAACUCUAAAACUGUAUUAAAGCACUUUACUAGCAAGGAACAAGAUGGAUCUGUGCUACAACACCUUAGAUCUAGCCUAAUCACCCUUAGUCUUCCUAACCCAUGAAUCCAAAUAUGACUACUCACUAAUCUUCAUGAUAAACCCAAAAAUCAAUGAUGAUUUGGUGUUAAUCAUGAUUAGUGAUCAAAUUAACAAAGCAAUCCCAAAGGAUAAUGAUCAAGAUUAGGUCUUUUACCUAAAGGUUCUUUUUUGAUUAGAUAGAAAACAAGAUAAGUCCCAACUUUAGGAUUACAAGAGUAUUUAUAUGUCAUUGGUAAACCUAAUGGUUUCCAUUAAAAAGUCUAAAAAACCCCUUAAAAACAUUAAAAUCCGACUAAAGAUAAGUUUCGACUCGGGUAGAAAUGGACGGGCACAACCCGCGUCGGAUCGUCGUCGAGGCUUCUCCGUCAUGCGCGCGGGUAGGCGAUCCCGCGUGGCUCCAUCCCGCAUGACUCUAUCGGUUCCUUCUCUUCGUGACGCGGGUAAGGGAACCCGCGUGAGCUCAACCCGCGUCAAGACGUUGAGCAGCUUCAUUAUCGUGCGUGCGGGUAGGCCAUCCCGCGUGAUCCAAGCCGCGUUAGAUCGUCGAUGAUGCUGCUUCUUCAUGCGCGCGGGUAAUGGAUCCCGCAUCGUUCGACCCGCGCUGGAGCUCAUGUUGCGUCCUCUCGACUCGGCGAAGCGGGUGAGUGAACCCGCGUUGGCUUAACCCGAGUUGAACUCGUCUGAUCCGGAACAAUGUUCAUUCUUCACUCCUUUUUAACCAAAAUGUUUCCAAACACCUCCAAUCACUCCAUAGGACACUCCAAUACCUGAUAAAGACAUAUGAAUGCAAUAUGGAUCCUAAAGAUGCUAAAUUCCUAAUCUAUAUGAUCAUUAUGUGCAAAAUGGAGACUUAAAACAAUGCAAAUAUGCAAGAUAUCAACUCCCCCAAACUUGUUCUUUACUUGUCCUCAAGUGAACUUGCAAGAACUCAUAUAGGAGAGAGGUUUGAAGGUGGGAACUCAUAGCCAAAAGUAACACUUCCUAGCACUCAACUUAAUAUCCUAAAGAAACAUAGCAAAUAGCAUGAGCAACUCUCUUAUUAUACUCUAGCUUCUUUAGGCCUAUCCCUACUCUUAUGCCUCUCACAAGUCGCAAUACUCAUCAACUAACAAGUCCCUUCAACCAGCUCUCACAUUGAUUCACACACACGCACGCAAGGUGAAUUCUCACAAAUGGGCACAUGAUCUCAAUCAUUUGGCUAGGUAAGCAAUGGUCUAAUAUGAAUGAAGAGAAGGGUUCAAAUGUUAUCAUUUCAAGGUGGUUAUCACUCAAAAACAAAGAGCUUGAUCAUUAUGCAAAAUUUAUCUAAGACUAGAAGCAACUCAUGCAUACAUAGAUUCAUUCUCAUCAUUCUACCCCUUUUUUUCUUUUUUAAGUUAUCACAAGUUCUACCCUUUUAUCAUCAUCUCAAAACUAAAAUAACACCCACACACAUCACUCACCCAAUGAACAACUCUCUUUUUCUUUUGACUCAACCAACUAGGGAUUUUAAUUCACUUUUUACAUGCUCUAGCUCUUUCUCAUUUCCUUCCCCACCUUCUCUUUGAUUCUUUUCUCUCUUUUUUUUUUAUAAGGACCCCUCUCACCAUCCCCAAAUGCUAACUCAUUGUGCUAGCAAGAGAUGAGAAUAAACCUAUGUCGCCUCCAAUACUCUCAAGAUUUUGCACAUGACAAGCUAUCAAAAGAGGCCUCACUCAUGCAAUUCAAUGUUUGGUCUCAAAGAAUGGUUAGGGUUUUAGGGUAAGGAGUGCCAUUUGGGUUAACAAAGAUAGGUAUGAAGGAAUAAGAUAACCCAAAUGUGUAUGAGAUCCAUGAUCAAGUGUGCAAAUGCCCAUAUGCAAGAGAGAUUAAGUUCAUUCAAGCCAAGUUCAGAUUGGAGCUGAUCUUAAGAACAAUGCCAAUAUCAAGCAAGCAAACAAGUUUCAAGAAGAGUUUUCAAGGCUCGAAACGUGCAAGGCUUUCAAGAGAUGCUUAAGAUACUUGAUAUGUUUAACUUGGGUGUCACUUUGAGUUCUAGACAAGAGUUACUUUACAAGGCAUUUUAAAUCAUUGUUCCUAAUGCAAGUGAAAUGCAACCUAUAUGCUCUAGACUCAAUCCUAAAAGUGCAAGUGAUGCAACUACAUGUUUCUUUUUGUGUUUUUCAAAUUUUUUAAUUUUUUUGGUUUUUCUAUGCAUAUAUGUAUGUACAAUGCAAUGCAUGAGACUCAAAUCAUCAAAGAAAACAUGAUCAAAUACUUGAUACCUCCCCCAAACUUUGUUCACACAGUCUCUGUGUUAGAAAGUUGGAGGAGAUACCGAAAAGAGAAAUAAAUGCAAAGAAAAAAAAACUGGUAUAUACAAUGGUAAGGUGAGGGUGAUACCUGGCUAAGCAAAGGAGGAGGCUCCCUCCGUGUCGUCGUCGUCGUCUGCGGUAGCGACUGAAGGAGACUCGUUGGAGGAGGCUCGGGGGGGAGGGGCUAAGCUGUUUCUUGGUGGCGGGGAAACUGAGUGCCAAAGGAUCUAUUGGGGGCUGCGGCUGGGGGGUAAGGAAGUCAAAGUCUGAUGAUGAGCAUCCUGCCACAGCUCCUCUAGUCAGUAUAUCAGCCACCUUCUUCAUGAACUGAGCUGAAGCUUCUGCUUGCCUCUUCACAGUCUUACUCAACUUCUUACAUUUGUCCUUGAGCUUGAAGAUAGUUCUGUCCUGAGCUUUGUUCCACCUUUGGAGGUUGCCAAUAUGCUCAUGAGCUUGGCAACGGGGACCAUUCGGUAAGGCUCCAGGACGUUGCUCAAAGUGGUAACGAGGAGGACCAAAGAGGAGCUCAGAGUUUAAACCGGAAGUGUCCUCUUGGAACACACCACAUCUAUUUGCAGUCUUCUUCUUCUUGGGAGAUCUCAUGGGGCCUAGAGUACCAUGGGGUUCAAGGAGGUGUUCUUCCCCAAUAUCAAAGCUAAUAGCUCCUGGUCGCGUCAAGCUCGUGAGGUCCCAAUUUGGGAGAAGCACUUCAACCUCCUUUGUAGACUGUAGGUAAGAGUAGACACAAGUUCCCUCGAACCUUCCACUGAAGUACUGAGCUUUCUUCAAGUAGCUUCCAUCCAUGAAAGCGGGACCAGUUGGAUCAUCUUCUAAGGGUAUAUCCUUGAACUUAAUCAGUGGAGUUAUCAAGCCACCAAUUCCAAUCUGAGGUUCCGAGUCACUCGUUGUCCAAGCCCACUCUUUGUAGUGGAUGAGGUGCUUCACAAAGAAUCCCACCAUUCCAAAAUUCUUGUAGAAAUCAGUGCUGACAAGAGGCAACUGAGAUGGGUGAGCAUAAUGUUGGACGGUUUGGUGAAGAAGUUGUAGCUCCUCAUCAUUAACAGUGUCUGGUUCUUUCCUUGGGAAAAUGGUGUGGACAAUCAACCGGUGGAGAUAGCGCACGGAAGGAUGGCGAAUGGAGGCGUUCUUGUCGCGGCUUGCCUUGCGACUCUUCCCCGCCAACACCUUCCAAACCAUUUUGGCAAUGUUCUCCUCCUUAGUUGCAUCAUAAGGUAUGGGGAUGGAUGAUUCCUCCAAAUCCUUAAGACAAAGUGUUUGUCCAACCUCCUUGAAGGUCAUGUAGUAAACCUUCCCAUGGAUCUUGAAUUUGAUCUUUCCCCAUCCUUGCCUCACAUGUUUGGUGGUGUGAAAGGUGGCCUCUAAUGAUGCCAAGAACUAACAUGACUCAUCUUCAUAGGUAGGGUAGACCAUAGUGAAUAAGCUUUGCAUGUUCAUGUGCUCCAACAUUUGCUUAAUGUCGUCACCUAUCUCCAACUCUUCCAUAAUCUUGAUAUCCGUAAAUCGAGUUGGAGGCCACAACACACCAUUCUUCAAAUGCCCAUAUAGCUCAUCUUCAGUUGGUGUCUUGGUUCUAUCCCUCUCAGUAUCAACCUUCUUCCCUUUAAUCACUUUGGCUUUCUUGAGGGGAGCUGGUCUUCUUCAGUGAUGUCUUCAUUUUCCUCCACUUGAGGAAGAGCUACCCCCUUGCCUUUUGGUUCCUUAGAUCUUUUGGGAUGGGCUGGCCUUCUACCGCUAGCAUCCAAUCCCUCGGCAGUUAUAACCCGCUUGCCAUCUCUCUUCUUUGCCGCCAAGGCUUGUUGCCUAGAAGUUCCUCCCGUUGUAGAUUCGGAGGUUAAAGGCUUCCUAUGUCUAGCAGUCUCUUGCUUGGCAAGUUCUUGUUUCUCGGUCUCUAUCUUGUGUUGAUCAUUUCUCCCCAUUUGUACCUGACAAUAUCAAACCUUGGAAAAGGAUAAGCAAAUGGAAGUAGGAAACUUGAUAAUGCAAAUGUUAAUUCAAUUCAUGAUCACUUAGCUUAAGCAAAACUAUCACAUUGCACACAAGUUAUUGAUAUAAGGCCACAAGAGAUGGAUGUAAGCAAAGAAUAAUGCUUUUAAGCAAAAUUUAAGCAUCAAAUGAGUUCUUCAAUUAGAAAGUUCUCUAAUUAAGUUCUCAAACUCCCUAACUAACCAAACCAAGCCAAAGUCAUAUAGAAUUAUAGUAUUUUCGAAAAAUCCCCAAAUCUCAUGAACCCUAAUUUUUAAAGUUCAAAUUCAACUCAAAUUCACCAUAGAAUCAACAACCCAACAUGAUAUAUUAGCUUUCUCUAGUCUAUUUCACAAGAAUUAAGCAAGAGAAAGAUCAAAUUUCAAGUUCAAAUUUCUAGGGUUCAUGAGGCCUACGAAAUUGAUCCUUGUGAUACAAUACUUUUCUUUGGAUGAAAGGAAAUGACAAGUUGAAUCAAGAAAACAGACUACAGGGGCGAAAGCUUGGAUUCAAGAAAAAGAAUGGAGUGAUUUGGUGGAGAAUUGAGUAAGAUAUGGGGUGAUUUGGUGUGGGAGGUUUGGAUGUUUUGUGAAAGAGAGAUAGAGGAAAAGGGAGAGAGAGACGCGGGUAGGGGGUGUUUUAGGGUUGAACCGGGUCGGUUUGUCGGGUCAGGUCACCGGGUUUAAGGGUAGAAAUCAUACCUGAGCGGGUUUUGACCCGUCGACGCGGGUGGGAGAAACUCGUGCGACCCCGCGUGCGUCACCCUGCGUCAUAAUAUCUCCGAAUGCAACUGUCGUGCGAGCGGGUAGAGGAACCCGCGUGACCUCAACCCGCGUGAGAUUUUCGUCACCGACCAAAUUCGUGCGAGCGGGUAAGGGAACCCGCGUCGCUUAACCCACAUUGGCUCCUCUAGAGAUCUCUUCAGCUCGCGUCAUGCGGGUAAGCUAUCCCGCGUGAGUUACUCCAUACCAUUUUUUUUUUAUGUACAAGGAUAGACAUGGGACUUCCUCCCAAGUGAGCUUGUUUUAAGUCUCUAGCUUGACUUUGUUUUCCUUUGGCUAGGUGGUGACGGGGUCGGAGAGUGAAACCGAGAUUCUUUCCUCCUCCAUUGUGGUUCCCAUGUAGAGCUUAACUCUUUGUCCAUUGACUGUAAAGUCUCCACCAUUCUUGUCCCAUAACACAAUUGCCCCAUAUGGCCUAACUUCCUUUAUCUUGAAAGGACCGGACCAUCUUGACUUGAGCUUCCCAGGAAACAACUUCAGUCUAGAUUUGUAGAGAAGCACUUGAUCUCCAGCACUGAAUUCUCUCUUCAAGAUCUUCUUGUCAUGAAAAGCUUUGGUUUUCUCCUUAUAAAUCCUUGAGUUCUCAAAAGCAUCCAGUCUAAUCUCAUCAAGCUCAUUGAGUUGGAGAAGUCUCUUCUCUUUGGCACUCUUGAUAACGAAAUUUAGCAACUUAACAGCCCACAAUGCCUUGUACUCAAGCUCAACUGGUAGAUGACAAGCCUUUCCAUACACAAGGUUGAAAGGUGUGGUUCCCGAAGGAGUCUUGUAAGCAGUCCUAUAAGCCAAAAGUGCAUCAUCUAGCUUGAUAGACCAAUCCUUUCUUGUAGUUCCCAUAGUUUUCUCCAAAAUAGACUUAAUUUCUCUGUUGGAGAUCUCAACUUGACCACUUGUUUGAGGAUGGUAAGGGGUAUCAACCUUAUGCUUCACACCAUUCUUCUUGAGAAGAUUCUCAAACAGCUUGUUGAUGAAAUGAGAUCCUCCAUCACUGAUCACAACUCUUGGGACUCCAAAUCUUGGAAAGAUGGUGCUCUUGAACAUCUUGAUCACCACUCUAGAAUCAUUGGUGGGACUUGCUACAGCUGCCACCCACUUGGAGACAUAGUCAACAGCUACGAGGAUGUAUUUAUUGCCAAAAGAUGAUGGGAAUGGUCCCAUGAAAUCAAUACCCCAUACAUCAAACACCUCCACUUCUAGAAUUGGGUUUUGAGGCAUCACAUUCAUUUUGGUGAUGUUCCCUCUCCUUUGGCAUGAAUCAUACUUAGCGACAAAGUCUUGAGUGUCUUUGAAUAUAUGAGGCCACCAAAACCCAGCUUGUAACACCUUCGAAACAGUCUUGAAAGUAGCGAAAUGGCCUCCAUAGGAUGAUCCAUGACAGUGUGUAAGGAUCCCUUCAACUUCUUCUUCAGCUACUACUCUUCUAUAGAGUUGAUCUCUACAAAGGACGUAGAGGUAAGGCUCAUCCCAAUAGUAUCUCUUCACAUCUUUGUAGAACUUCUUCUUGGCAUAUCCUUCAAGACCCAUUGGUUCUCUUCCACAAGCUAAGUAGUACACCAAAUCAGCAUACCAAGGGCCUUUCUCUUCAUUUGCCUUCACCUCUUCAAGCUUCUUUCCAGUAUCACAAACUGCUACCACUGUUCUAAUUGCCAUGAUUUGUUCUUCUGGAAGCCCUUCAUCAAUGGGGAUCCCACACUCAAUCUUCAGUCUAGACAAGUGAUCAGCUACACCAUUCUCAACUCAUGGCUUGUCUUUGAUCUCAAGGUCAAACUCUUGUAACAGCAAGAUCCACCUCAACAGCCUUGGCUUAGCAUCCUUCUUGGCCAUGAGGUGUCUUAAUGCAGUAUGAUCAGUGUGGACUAUGACUUUUGACCCAACCAAAUAGCUUCUGAACUUCUCAAAGGCAUAGACAAUGGCUAGCAGCUCCUUCUCAGUUGUAGCAUACUUCAUUUGGGCUUCAUCAAGAGUUUUACUCGCAUAGUAGAUCACAUGAGUCUUCUUGUCCUUCUUUUGGCCAAGAACAGCUCCCACAGCAUAGUCACUAGCAUCACACAUGAUCUCAAAGGGAAGAUCCCAAUCUUGUGGCUGCACAAUGGGGGCACUAACCAGCUUGUCCUUCAACUUCUUGAAUGCUUAUAGACAUUCCCAAUUAAAGUUGAAUGUAGCUUCCUUGCAUAGAAGCUUAGUCAUUGGCCUAGCUAUCAUGGAGAAGUCUUUGAUGAAUCUUCUAUAGAACCCAGCAUGACCAAGGAAGCUUCUAAUAUCUUUCACUGUCUUUGGUGGAGCUAACCCAACCAUCACUUCAAUCUUAGCCUUUUCCACCUCAAUCUCUUUCUCUGAAAUCUUGUGUCCAAGCACAAUCCCUUCUUUAACCAUGAAGUGACACUUUUCCCAGUUCAGCACAAGGUUGAUGUCUUCACAUCGCUUUAGGACCCUGCUAAGAUUGGACAAACAAGCAGAAAACGAAGAUCCGUAGACGGAGAAGUCAUCCAUGAACACCUCCACAACAUCUUCUAUAAGAUCAGAGAAAAUAGACAUCAUGCACCUUUGGAAGGUGGCUGGAGCAUUACAUAGCCCAAAUGGCAUCCUUCGAUAAGCAAAAGUACCAUAAGGGCAUGUGAAUGUUGUUUUCUCUUGAUCAUUUGGAUGUAUGGGUAUUUGGAAGAACCCUGAAUACCCAUCAAGAAAUCAAUAAUAGAGAUGAUUUGCAAGUCUCUCAAGCAUUUGAUCAAUGAAUGGCAAUGGAAAAUGAUCCUUUCUAGAUGCUGAGUUUAAUUUUCUAUAAUCUAUGCACAUCCUAUGUCCUGUUAUUGUUCUUGUUGGAAUUAGUUCAUUCUUAUCAUUUUUAACCACAGUUAUUCCACCCUUUUUUGGGACAACAUGCACAGGAGACACCCAUUUGCUAUCCGAAAUAGGAUAGAUUACUCCUGCAUCUAGGAGUUUUAGAAUCUCUUUCUUAACAACAUCUUUCAAGUUGGGGUUCAACCUUCUUUGAUGUUCUAUAGAAGUCAUAGAUUCAUCCUCUAGAUGUAUCCUAUGCAUGCAUGAAGAAGGUGACAACCCUUUAAUAUCAUCUAGUGAGUAGCCUAUUGUCUUUCUAUACUUUUUCAGUUCAUUCAAAAGUUUAGACAAUUCAUUUUCAUUCAGUUCACUACUCACUAUGACAGGGUAAGUCUCAUUAGGGCCAAGAAAAGCAUACCUUACACCUUGGGGAAGAGGUUUAAGCUCCACUUUAGGCGCCUUGAGUUCACUCCAGUCCUCUUGAUGAAUGUCUUCUUGUUGAGUAGCUGAGGCAGCAUGUUGAAUCUCAUGUGUAAGCUCCUCAUUCUGAUCCUCACCACCAAUCUCCUUGUGAGAAUCCAACACCUUCACAUAGGCAUCACUUUUCUUGUUCUCAAUCACUUGGACCUCUCUUUCAAUUGUUAAAGCAUGCUGUAGAGGGUCUUCAAGUGCCAACUCCUCUAGAAGCUCAUCAGCUAGAGCAUCCAUUUCAUCUAUGUAGAAAACUUGGUUCUGAAUGGUUGGCCUCUUCAUCACUUCAUUGAUGUCGAAGUGGACGAUGUUCCCUUUUCAAAGAUGAAGAUCAAUCUUUCCUUCUCUAACAUUCACAAAAGCUCCUGCUGUGGUUAAGAAUGGUCUUCCAAGGAUCAAAGGGUCUCUGGCUUCCUCACCCAUCUCCAACACAACAAAAUUAGUAGGGAUCUCAAAGUUACCAACCAUCAAGGGAAGGUCUUCUAGGAUACCAACAGGAAUCUUUACUGAUCUAUCAGCCAACACCAAAGAGAGUCUACACUUCUUGUAUUGAGUAAAUCCAAGCUUUUUUGCAAUAAACAAAGGCAUCAAGCUGACACUAGCUCCAAGAUCGCAUAGACACCGCUCAAACACCAUAGGUCCUAGAGCACAAGGUAAGGUGAAACAUCCUGGAUCUUCUAGCUUUCUUGGAACAUCUAACCUCUGGAUAAUGGCGCUGCAUUCGUGUGUUAAGAUCAUCAUACCUUCUAUCUCUUUCUUUUUUGCAGCCACAACAUCUUUCAAGAAUUUUCCGUACUGAGGGACAAACAUAAAAGCAUCAAUGAUGGGCAUUGUGACCUGAACUUCACUCAUUUGUUUCUCAAAGAGUGCCCUGUACUUCUCCAAUAGCUGUCUUUUGAAUCUUCCAGGGAAUGGCAGCUUUGGCUCAUAGGGAGGAGGAACAAAAGAGGAUUCCUUCGUUGGAGUAGCAGUUUCACCAUGUUUCACUGUCCUCUUUUCCUGUCCAACCUUCCCUUUACCCUUAGCUUCAACAAUCUUUUCCAGAAUCUCUUCAUCAACCUUCUCAUCUACAAUCACCACUUCAUCAUCAAUGUUUAUGGCCACCUCCCCACCUUGUUUUUCACCAUCCUUGGUGAGAACUCUUGGAGGCAACUCUCUACCACUCUGUAGGGUGAUUGCCUUCAUUGUUUCCAUGGGAUUUGCUCUGGCUUUCCAGGUAAUGACCCUUGUUGGCGACUUGGCUGAGAAUUCAAAGAAGCAAACUGGUUCUCCAAAUUUCGGAUCUUGUUGUUGAGCUCAUUGUAGCUUCCAUCAAUCUUGGAGUGAAUGUUCUUGAACUCAUAGCCCAUUGUUUUCUCAUUCUUUACCUGAAAAUCCAAGAGUUUUUUGAACUUUGCAUCCACACUUGUAUCUGAAGCUGGAGCUUGUGAAGAACUUCCUUGGACUUGAGUAGACUGAUUGCUGUGAUUGUUGAAACCAGGAGGGAUGUUUUACCUAGGCUGAUAGCCCCUUGCUGAAUGUUCUGCUUUGGCUGGUAGCCUCCUUGCUGGUUGUUGGAGUAAGACCUUUGCUGGUAGUUGUUGUACUGAAAGUUAGGUUUCUUCCUGUACCAAGUACCAUUGUUGUUGAUGAAGCAUAGCUCUUCUUGGCCUUCAAAACCAUCAACCUCAUUGACCUUAGGAGGAACCUCUUGACUAGGACCACCCACAAAGUUCAUCUGCUCCUGUUUAGCUUGGUUGGAAAGAAGCAAAUCCAUCUUCUCUUGCAAGGACUUGAUCUCUUUCUUUGUCUGCUGAUCAUCACUUCUGUUGACCCUAUCAUGCUCCUCACUGUACACCGAGUCACUCUUGGCCAUGUUCUCUACUAGUUCCUCUGCCUCUUCCUCAGUUCUUCCCAAGAAGAAACCAUUGCUGGCAGUAUCAAGCAUGUUUCUGCACUGUGGUAGAGCUCCUCUAUAGAAAAUGCUAAGCAAACUCUCCUUGCUGAAACCAUGAUGAGGGCAUUGAGAACAUUAGCCCUUGAACCUCUCCCAUGCUUCACUGAAGCUCUCUAGACCUUUCUGUUGAAACCCAGAUAUUUCAUUCUUGAUCUUAGUUGUUCUUGAAGUAGAGAAGAACUUGUCCAGGAAAGCUCUCUUACACUCUUCCCAAGUAGUGACAGUGUCACUUGGGAGAGUCUUCUCCCACUGGUGUGCCUUGUCUCCCAAAGAGAAAGGGAACAGCUUCAACUUGAAAGCAUCUUCAGAAAUACCAUUAGUCUUGGACAAGCCACAAUAUUUAUCAAACUUGUACAAGUGAUCAAAAGGGUCUUCAGCAGCAAGACCAUGAUACUUGUUGUUCUCUAUGGUGUUGAGCAGUCCUGACUUGAUCUCAAAGUUGUUGUUCUCCACUGGUGGUGCUCUGAUUCCCAACCUAUGACCAUUAAUGUGAGGUGGAUCAUAGGCUUCAAUGGCACGAGCUUGGCGCGGUGGAUGUUGUGGCUGGCGCUGUGGUUGAAGGUGAUCAGCUCUUGGAUCAAUGCCCCCUAGGGCAUCACCAUCUUGAGGCAGAUUCUCCAUAUCAAAUCCCAACCUUUGCAAGUGAGCCUGUUGCUCUACUUCUCUUCUCUGUCUUGCAAUCUCCCUCUCAAGUGCUCUAAUGUCUUCCACUCUUGGAACUAGGUUUGUUGCAUCUCUGCUUCUUGUGAUCAUACACCUGAAAUGCAAAGGGAGAAAAAGAAAGAGAAGCAAUAACACAAUUAAAUAAAAAUUGACUUAGUCUCAAGCAAGUGACUAAAUCCCAAUGUCACAAUCAACUUAGAAUUUGGCAACGGCGCCAAUUUGAUGUUAGGAGUUUUCAAGGCUCCUAAUCAAAUGCUAUAGUAUAAAGGAUGUCUAACCAUGUCUAAGUGAUUCUAAAGCAAAGAGAAUGAAAGACCAUGCUUAAUCUAAAUGCUAUCAAUUGGCAAGAUGAUUUUGAACUAGAAUACUACUAAAAUGCAAUAAAGAACAAAGCUUUUCUUUCUUAUGAGAUGGGAGAAUUCAUAGGCUAAGGAAAUUGACCUUGGGUGAUCAAGUUUCAAUCUAAAGGUAGUAUCUUUCAAUCAAUCUAUCAACCUUAGACCUAGACACAAUCCUAAACAAACUCUAUCUCUAGAUGAAUGUUCAUUCACUAAGAUAACUCAAGCAUCAAAUUUCUUUGGUUGAAUAUUAUCUAAGCAAUCAUUAAUUUCAAGUCCAUUUCUUUGGUUGAAUAUUAUCUAAGCCAUCUUAACAUCUUUAACAUCAAAUCUCUUUGGUAAAGAAUGUUAAAAGCUUAGUAGAGUUGGUUCAUGCAUUUCAUCGAACACCUUUCGGGUAUGAAAUGCCUAAAGCUCAACUUUAGAGAGGCCAACUCUAAAACUGUAUUAAAGCACUUUACUAGCAAGGAACAAGAUGGAUCUGUGCUACAACACCUUAGAUCUAGCCUAAUCACCCUUAGUCUUCCUAACCCAUGAAUCCAAAUAUGACUACUCACUAAUCUUCAUGAUAAACCCAAGAAUCAAUGAUGAUUUGGUGUUAAUCAUGAUUAGUGAUCAAAUUAACAAAGCAAUCCCAAAGGAUAAUGAUCAAGAUUAGGUCUUUUACCUAAAGGUUCCUUUUUGAUUAGAUAGAAAACAAGAUAAGUCUCAACUUUGGGAUUACAAGAGUAUUUAUAUGUCAUUGGUAAACCUAAUGGUUUCCAUUAAAAAGUCUAAAAAGCCCCUUAAAAACAUUAAAAUCUGACUAAAGAUAAGUUUUGACUCGGGUAGAAAUGGACGGGCACAACCCACGUCAGCCAACCCGCGUCGGAUCGUCGUCAAGGCUUCUACUCAUGCGCGCGGGUAGGCGAUCCCGUGUGGCUCCAUCCCGCGUGACUCUAUCGGUUCCUUCUCUUCGUGAUGCGGGUAAGGGAACCCGCGUGAGCUCAACCUGCGUCAAGACGUCGAGAAGCUCCAUUCUCGUGCGUGCGGGUAGGCCAUCCCGCGUGAUCCAAGCCGCGUUGGAUCGUCGAUGAUGCUGCUUCUUCAUGCGCGCGGGUAAUGGAUCCCGCGUUGUUCGACCCGCGCUGGAGCUCAUGUUACGUCCUCUCGACUCGGCGACGCGGGUGAGUGAACCCGUGUUGGCUUAACCCGAGUUGAACUCGUCAGAUCCGGAAAAAUGUUCAUUAUUCACUCCUUUUUAACCAAAAUGUUUCCAAACACCUCCAAUCACUCCAUAGGACACUCCAAUACCUGAUAAAGACAUAUGAAUGCAAUAUGAAUCCUAAAGAUGCUAAAUUCCUAAUCUAUAUGAUCAUUAUGUGCAAAAUGGAGACUUAAAGCAAUGCAAAUAUGCAAGAUAUCAUCAGCCAAAGUCCUUUUCACCCAUGUAUCCUUACCAGGAGUCUCGCCGACUAACGAUGGACUAUUGACAUACUUCUGCUGCGUAUUCUGCUGCGGUGAUGGCAAAGAUUCUUCUUCGCCGCCGUUUGAGAGGUUAUCAUAGUUUUCGGGAAUUUUCCCUACAAUUUUCAGACGCUCCUCCACUAAAGCUUUCACCAUGUCAUCAAUGGUCUUCUGGUCCAUCAAUGGUCUGUUCCGUUCUAACUCGUAAGCGUCAAACCGUGAGUCAAUCUGAUCAAAUUUUCUGGAAAUAUUCUCCAGAGUACUCACAAUGGUCGCCAUAGUCGCUUUGUUCUCCAAAUCUUUGCUACCUUCCUCCUCGCUAGAACCCUUUCCCGUUGCAGCAGCUUAACCCUCAAUGUUGUUCACUUCAUUCUUUGUCUUAACUUUCUUCUGCUUCUUAGUGGGUGGCUCAGCUUCUGACGAAACUCCACCCUUCAUUUUCUUCUUCUUCUCAUUCCCCUUCCCCUGCGCAUUCCCCUGGACUUUCCAAAAACCUUUCACAAAUCUACCUGCAUGUAUGUUUGUUAUCAAGCUAACGAGUUGUGGGUCGUCAGGUUCACCCGGCCAUUUAGGAAACAUCUCUUCAAUUGAGUCCUUCAAAACCAUUCUCCUCACACGCACCUGCAACACCAGGUUAUAAUUAAACUCAGCCACCAAAAUAACCCAUAACUCAGCCAUCAAAUAUAAUAAAUCAGCCAUAAAAAAAAACUAAAAACUCAGCGUUAAACCUUACCUCGCCAUGUUCUUUGAUUUCGGCAGCCAACAAGUUAUCAAAACUUGCACGUGUACGCUUUCCACCCCAUCGCAAAAGCGGAACAUCUUCAUUAUUCACCACUCUCCCAAAACUCUCACCGACGCAGGCGACGGAUUCAUACGCCCAAAUCAAUAACGCGACGGUCAUGCCACUUAUUGUGUAUGACCCUCCUUCUGGAGCCAACGUUUUAAUAGAGUCAAUGAGAACUUUGUAUGCAGUCCGACCCCAUGGAUACGACCCCAUGGCUUCAUCGUCGAAUACCCUUAUUGCACUUUCAAAAGGUAUCCUUGAAUUGUGAUGCAAACAAUAGACUCCCAUGGCUUGAAGAAGUAGCAGCCCCAACCACUUACGCUUUUCAAAACUCCAAAGCGGACAGAACGCUAAUGCUUCCCUCAGUUCAUCUAACUUGGGUCCCAUCCCAAGCGGCACCUUCAACUCCUCCCAAAAUUCUUUGUAUUGAUCAGGUUCAAAACUUUCUGUUGGCAAUGGGCAUGUGUUUAACCCAGUGAUCUCACCAAACUCGAGCAAGCUAAACCUUAUAGCCUCAUCAACCACGAGACACCAUAUCUCCUUCUUAUGUACUCGCAGCUGUCUACAUAGUAAAUAGUGUACGAUCCUACCAGACCAUAUGCUUUCGCGUCCAGCUAGCCUAGCAACUACUCCAAUGGGAGAGUUCACCAGUUCUUCCCACACAUCAAGUCCUAUUGUUUCUCUAAUGUGGGGGAAAUUUCCUAGACGGAAAUUGUGAUUAAUAUCUUUUUUUCUAGGUUAGAAGACCCUUCAGGGUAAAGUCUUGGAGGGAAAUCCCGUGAUUUAAUUUCAGCAACAUCCAUCUGAUCAUAUAACCCAAAAAUAAACCAGCCACAAGAUAACAAUAACACAGCCAUAACAUAACAAUAACUCAACAAAAUAAAAAUAACUCAGCAACAACAUAACAAUAACUAAGCCAUAACAUAACAAUUCCUCAGUCACGACAUAGCGAUAACUCAGCCAUAACAUAACAAUUACUCAGUCAUAACAUAGCCCUAACUCAGUCGCAACAAAACCCUAACUCAGACGCAACAAAACCCUCAACCAUAUCACAGCCGCAACAUAACCCUAUCUCAGUCGCAACAAAAUAUAUAACUAAGAUGAAAUAUAAUAUAUAACUGACCCACAAACUCAACCAAAACACAAUAUAUAACGUCGCGACAUCCUACAGGAAAAGACAAACUCGUAGAUAAGAAUGCGGCGAAGACGAUUUCGUACAAACGAUUGAAGACGACGAUUUCGGGAAAAACGAUAUCAGAGAAGACACAGUAUCAACGACAGAGAGAUAGUUCGAGGAAGACGAAGUACACGACAAUGUUCUUCGUUUCUUUUUUUUAACCCCUAUGUAGUUGUGGAGAAGGAGACGGUUUGAUUCUAUUUUGCUUAUGUGGAUUGUUAAUUACUGAUGUGGAUUUUGUGUUUAAAAAUAAUUUCAAUUAAAAAAAAACUAACCAAACGCCCUUAUUGUCAUUUACUAGGUGUAUCCAAACAUUAUAGUAAUUUAAAAAAGAUGUAUAAUACUCUAGUAAUAAACCAACUUUUCUUAUAUAUUCUAGUAAUUUUCUCUAUCUAUAUAUACCAAAUUUUGUACUUGUUGACAUUAUCUUUUUUUUAUAGGAAAUUUUUUUUUUCAAUCCAACGGUCAUAAUUUUUUGUUUUUAUGAUCUAAGGGAUAUAAAAUAUUCUUGCUAUAAAUGUUGAUCUCACCAAGAAAAUUAUAUUUGGCAGCUCUUUCCUGAACAGUUAUAUAUUUAAACAAUACAUCUUUUAUAAUGUAACAAACAUAUAAUUUCAUAAUUUUUACAUAUUUAAAAAAAAAUUAAAAUGUUACAAUCCGAUAGUCAUAAUUGUCUGUUUUAUUAUCUAAAAGUCUUUAUAUUAUCUUGGUUUAGAUGGUUUAAGUCUUGUCCCAACUCCUUUCUGAAGAGAUUCCUUUUCAAACAACACACAUCUUAUAACGCAGCAAAAUAUGUACAAAACAUCUCUACCGACAUACGUUAUGUCUACUUUUCUGCUCCCAUUGGAGAUUUGUGAAAACCUUGCCAGUGCCAUUGCACAGUUCUGGUGGAGUUCAAAUCCACCAAAAAGAGGGAUACACUGGGCGAAGUGGGAGAAAGUAUGUUUACCAAGAGUGGAGGGUGGAAUUGGUUUUCGUAUGAUCCAUGAGUUCAAUCUGGCCCUAUUGGCGAAAUAACUAUGGAGGCUACUUCAGUUCCCUGAUUCUCUGGUUGCACGGGUAUUGAAUGGAAGAUACUAUAGAUUGAGUUCUCCACUAAGAGUGAAUACUGCUACCAGCCCAUCCUAUGUGUGGAAGAGCAUUACUGCAGCAAGGAAGUUGUUAUUAUUAGGGAUCAGACAGAAGAUACAUUCAGGGUACGAAGUCAAGGUGUGGGAGGAUCCCUAGAUUCCAACGACCCCUACGAGACCAGCUAUCUCCAUAGCGCCAGCCAUGCACCCUAAUAUGAGAGUCAGCGAUCUCAUUGAUCAGGUAUCGAAGGAGUGGGAUGUUGGUCUACUGGAGAAUUAUGUUAGUCCUGAGGACAUACCUCUCAUAAGGAGUUUAACCAUAAGCUCAACUCAUAGUCGAGAUACUUUCUGCUGGAACUACACAAAGAAUGGUCAAUACACGAUUAAAUCUGGAUAUUGGGUGGCACAUAAUGUAUUAAAACCAGCGGUAGAGAAGGAAGUUGUAUAAAUCUGGAACCAUAAGCUCAACUCAUCGUCGAGAUACUUUCUGCUGGAACUACACAAAGAAUGGCCAAUACACAGUAAAUCUGGAUAUUGGGUGGCACAGAAUGUAUUAAAACCAGCGGUAGAGAAGGAAGUUGUAGAGCCAAGCAUCACAAGGCUCCAAGCCUCUGCCUGGAAGGUAAAGGCGCCGAAGAAGAUAUGUCAUCUUAUAUGGCAACUGGUGACUGGUCAUGUGGCAGUAAGGAGGAACUUAACAAGACGCAAUAUGAAGUGUGACAAUUACUGUCCAAGAUGCGGAGAAUUAGAGGAAAUUGUGACCCAUGCAUUUUUUGAAUGUCCGCCAGCUCUUCAAUUUUGGUCAUUAUCAUCGACUCCAACAAGCCCAUAUAUAUUUCCGGUAUCAAGCGUCUACACAAAUAUGGAUUAUCUGUUUUGGAGGAAGAAUAGCAUCAUCGAGAGCCAGAACAAGACAGGGAUCCCUAUCCCUGAAUAUUAUGGUAUAUUUGGAAGGCUAGGAAUGACAAACUCUUCAGGGGAAUAGAUAGAGAUCCUUUGGAGCUAGUUCGACAUGCAGAGAGUGAAUGCCAAGCCUUGUUUGAUGCUAACGAUGCGGUACAACCAGUGGUACAACCAGUGGUUCAAGAUAAUAUCCAUGAGGUAUCCCAAGUCAUACGUUUGGGUAAUAUUUGCUUGUUAGAUGGAUCUUGGACAUCUUAUGCUCACUUUAGUGGAUGCGGCUGGGUAUGGAUGGACAGAGCUGGGAACAUUCAACUUAUGGGAACAAAGAAUUUCACUCGACGCGAAUCAGCUUUGCAUUCGGAAGUAGAAGCACUGCGGUGGACGAUGGAAAAUAUGCUUCAACACUCAACAUGCCAGAGCUUCGGGACAGACUACAAGAAGCCGAUUGCAAUGAUAAAGAACCCCCAGGCUUGGCCAAGCUUUGCGACAGAAUUGGAGAGGAUAGAGACGUUACAGAUAUGCUUCCCGGACUUCAACAUCAUUCAUGUUCCACGGGCGCGCAAUCAGACUUCAGAUUUUUUAGCUAGGACUGCAAGAUCCUUCCAUAAGAAGUUAUUUUUUAUUGGUUGUUCUAUUCCGGUUUGGUUACCCAGACCACCUCAAGUUUGAGUUAUAGAAUGGUCUUUCGACGUAAAAAAAAAAAAAAAAACAUCUCUUCUGAGAUUCUAGAUAUUAAUAUUUGAGGAAGAAACAAAUAACCUUGAGACAUUCAUGUCUCAUCAUAGUCUUAUUUGUUUAUGUACCAUCAUAUUGUGGAAGAAAAAUAUUGAAGGAAAAUAUUAAUGUCUAACUUGUUUCUUCUCAGCGUCAUAGUCUACGACAGAAUAUGUCCAGGCUAAAUGACAUAAUAAUAUAAUAUAUUAUAUAUAUCACAAUUCUGUCUUGAUAGCAACAGAAUUAAGCAAGGUUCCUUCAGCAAAGAGUAAAUAAAAACAAUACGUAGUAGAAACUAGACUUUGUAUAUAGCGUCUCACAGAGCUUUGACAAUCGGUUGUUUUCAUGUAUAUAUCGAUAAAUAUUUUAAAUAAAUUUAAAAUAACUAAAUCAAUUUUUUAUCUAAAAAAGAAACUAAAAACUAGAAAUUUUGAAAAACAUUUUUUUGGUGAAAUUAGAUUUUUUUAAAUCUAAUUUUAGAAAAUACAUAGCUUAAAUUAUAUAUGUUUUAAUUUUUGAUUCAUCUAUAAAUAUACGAGAAAUUACCACAAAUAUCAUAUGCAUAGUAUCAAAUUUCAUGUUUACACUAACCAAUUUUACCCUCACUUUUAAUGAAAGACAAAAAACAUUUAUAUCCUAAGGUUAACUAAUCAAGACUUAGGGUUUAGAGUUGAGAGGUGAGAUAUUAUUUUUCGAAUAUGAAAUUUAGGAUUCUAAUAAAUACAUAAAUAAAUACUAAAAAAAUAGAAAUUUUUUUUAAAAAAAUGUUUCAAACAUAAUUUUCCAUUUUCAAAAACAAAUUUUAGAAAAAACAAAUUUUUAAAAAAAAAAUCAGAAAAAAAUUUAUAAAAAAAUACGAAUUUGAAAAAGUAUAAUUCGAACAAGGGUAUAAUAGUCUUUUGCCACUUAACGAAGAAGAUAUUUUUGAAAUAUUAUUUUAGUGGUGGUAAAGAUAAAUAAUGGUACCAUGAAAAUGGUAAACAUGAAAUUCCCCCUAAAUAUACUCUUGUGUCUUUGUAAUUUUGAAACACCUUUAGUUUAUUAUCUAAGACAUGAGUCUGUAAUGCUGAUGACAAAAAAAAAAAAAAAAAAAAGAUGAAAAUUGAUUUUUAGCCUUAGCUUAUUGGACUUGUUAUGCUCACAGUUUUUCUGUUCGGUUUGUAUUUAUAUUUACCAUUUUAGUAUUAUAUUCAAUAAUAAUUUAAAAUUAAAGUUAUUCUGAUACUUAUUAUUUUAUACACUGAUAUAAUUUGUAUAUCGAAUUCUAUAAUGUUACGUUUAGCAAUUUUUCAAGAAUAAUCAAUAAUGAAGAAAUAAUAUGUUUAUACUUUAAGUUUUUUUUUCCUACAAAUAUGCAAAAAAAAUCUCUCUAAGCUUAUAAAGUUUACCAAAAACAUUAGUUGCUAUUUUAAAUACAAAGACUAAAGUUAUGUUUUAACUAUUAUAAUAACAAGAGUAAUGGAGAUUGUUGAGAAAAGAGAACUACCACCUUGUAUUGAGGCAUACGGAGGGAAAAAAAUGUGAAACUACGGAUUGUAAAUCUGAAUAUGCCAGGAAAAGGAAAGGGGUUGCUCAUUGCGUUAUUGGCGGCCCAUGAUUUGGCAAAAAACUAAAACAACGAGAUGCUUUUAUCAAAAGAAUAAAAGGAAUACUUGUUCACCCUGAUUUUUUUUAUCAACAUUGAAAAUCAAAUAAUAUUUAUAAUAAUAAACACCUUUAUCAAAGGAAAAAAUAAUAUUAAACCAUCAUUAUCGAUGAAACCCUUUUUGGGUUCCUUGAAAUUUUUUUUUUUUUUUUGUGUUUUCGCUGAUUUAAAAAAAAAUUAAAAAGAAAACCAAUCGCGGGCCGCCACGUGUUAGUAAGGCCCGCGAACAGUUCAAGAACACGUGUCAGUAGAGCCCGCAAACAGUUCAAGAAACAGAUCAAAGUCGGUUCUUAACUCACCCCUUUUGUGACCUACUCUUAGCAAAUUUGUGGGGGCCACUACCUCUUUUAGUGUAAAAACCCUCUAAAAAUUAGAGAUAAUUAUGCCCUUAUUAAUUGUUAUUACUGUUUGUGACAUGAUAAAAUGUAUUAGGUUAUCCAAUAUAAAUAAAAAUAACAAAUAUUGAUAUGUCGACCGGUUUUUGCCUUUUUCUUCACUAGAGUGAAUUAAAAAUAUUAUUUUAUAGUUAGUGUUUAAUUUCAUAUAAAGUUGAAAGAAAAAAUAAAAUAAAUUUAUUUUUAACAGUGUAGGAAUCUUACAGAUAAUAAAUAAUUUUACUGUGUUUUUCUUAUUGAAUUAAUUUAUAUUUUGGUUUUUCAUGAAGUUUGAACUUAAAAUUACUGGUGAAUAUCCAACAAGAAACUAAUGAAAUCCCAACGGAAUUACACAAUCAUAUUUCAUCAUAUGAAGCGUAAAUUUUUGAGAAAUUAAUUGUUUGAAAUACACUAAAUUGGAUGCAACUAUUCAAAAAUACAAUUUAUAAAAAUAUUAUAACAUUUGGAUUUAGAAAAGUUUACUGAUUAUUGUUUAGGAAUUAGUAUUUAAGGGGUAAGAUUGAAUUUGUAAACUUUUAUAAAUUAUUCUUAAACAUUUAUAAAUAAAAGUUAAUUUUGUUUUUUCAUAAUAAACUUAAGGUAUUUAUUAAAAUGAUUAUCAUUUAAAUGUAAAUUUGAAAAGUAAUAUCAUAAAAGUAAUAUCAAAUUUAAGGUAAAGUUAGAAUUUCCUCUAAAUUUUUAAUAGUGUAUAUAUGAAAACUCGAGGAGGAAACUUCAAAUGAAGUCGUAGAAGAAGAUCUAAUAUCAAAUGGGCUCUUUCUAUAUAGCCCAAAUACGUUCAUAGUUUGACUUUUUUUGAAUAUAUAAAACUCUAGGAGGAAACUUCAAAUUUAUCAGGAACUGAAAAAGUUCAUCAGUAAAUCAAAUCAAUUUCUAAAGAAAGCUCCGUCUCUCGUUAACAAUUUGGAACUAACCCUUCGAACCCCUUGCCUAAAAGAAACACGAACCAGAACAGAAAACCUAAAAAACAGAAUCUCUCAGACAGCAAAAACAGAGUCAGGGCAUUGCAUUUCUUAUUAGAACUGAACAAAAUAAGCGGAAACAAUUUGUUUGUUUUGUUUUCGUUUUCUAUGCCUUCAAAAGCAUGAAACUAUCUUUUUUUCAAAGGAUUAAAAUCAUGGAAACAAAGCCCUACACAACAUGAAAAGCUUUAGGGAAAAAGCAAACACACUGAAUUCAGAAUUAAGCACAAGACAAAGCGUGAGAAAGAGAGGAUAACCCUCAACAAUCUAAUUCCCCUUCCUAGCAAGCUUAGUCCAUUCCGUGUGGUACGCACCAGGACGAUCGGUCCUCUCAUACGUAUGAGCUCCAAAGAGAUCUCUCUGCGCCUGAACCAGAUUCGCAGGCAAUCUCGCACGCCUGUAAGUGUCGAAGUAGGCAAGACUCGCGCACAUUCCCGGCGUGCUUAUUCCCGCAGAGAUGGCCAAACCCACGACUCUCCUCCACGCAGCUUGCCUCUGAACCAUCUCUUUAGCGAAAUCAGGAUCAACCACCAAACUCGCCAGGUUCGGGUUCCUCUGGUAAGCUUUCUUGAUCCUGUCCAAGAACACCGCCCUGAUAAUACACCCUCCUUUCCAAAUCCGAGCCAUCUCGCCGAGAUUCAAGUUCCACUCCUUCUCCACACUCUUAGCUCUAAGCAAAUUCAUCCCUUGAGCAUAACUACAGAUCUUAGAAGCGUACAAAGCUUGCCUCACAUCAUCAAUCAACCUCUUUUUAUCAAUCCCAUGAGAUGCAGAACCAAUAUCCUCCUUCAACCCAGCUUCCUUCAACACUUUGGCAGCAUUCUCCCUCUCGUCCUUGAGUCCACUCAAGUACCUACAAUCCAACGAGGCAGCGAUAGUCGGGGCCGCCAAUCAAGUACCUACAAUCCAACGAGGCAGCGAUAGUCGGCGCCGCCACUGAGAGCUCAGCCGCCUGCUGAACAGUCCAUUUCCCGGUUCCUUUCAUUCCCGUCUUAUCCAAAAUCUUAUCAACUAACUCUCCAUCCCCAAACUCAUCCUUAACCCUAAAAAUAUCCGAAGUAAUCUCAACCAAGAAACUCUCCAGCUCACCUCGGUUCCACUCUGUAAAAAUCUCCGCAAGCUCGUCAUUGCUUAACCCCCCAACGUUCUUCAAAACAUCGUACGCCUCGGAAAUGAGCUGCAUGUCACCGUACUCGAUCCCAUUAUGAACCAUUUUCACGAAGUUCCCAGAUCCGCCUUCUCCUAUAUAAGUCACGCAGGGACCGUCCUCCACCUGAGCGGCGACUUUCUCGAGAAUGUCUUUAACGUUGUUAUAGGCCUGGAAAGAACCUCCAGGCAUGAGGGAGGGGCCGUUACGAGCCCCUUCCUCGCCUCCGGAGACUCCCAUCCCCAAGUAGAGCAAUCCUUUCUUCUCAGCUUCAACGAUUCGUCGCUCUGUGUUCUGGUACCACUCGUUACCGCCGUCGAUGAUGCAGUCACCGGGCUCCAUGUACUCGGAGAGGGCGGAGAUGGUCUGGUCAACGGGGGCGCCGGCUUUGACGAGGAUGAUGACGGAUCUGGGGCGCUGGAUGGAGAGGACGAAGUCGCGAGGGGAGUAUUGGCCGGAGACUGGGAGCUUGCCUUCUUCGGAGGCGCGAUCUAGGGUUUCGUCGACUUUGGAGGUGGUUCGGUUGUAGACCGAGAUGGGGAAGCCUUUGUCGGCGAUGUUCAGGGCGAGGUUUUGGCCCAUGACGGCGAGGCCGGCGAGACCAAUGCGGGAGAGAGCGGCGGACUCCAUUUGAGAGAGUUGGUAGAGAGAGGUUGGUGAUGGGGGGAGAGUGGCGGAGAUAUUUAUAAGGGUGAAAGUGACGGACUCGUCGAUGGAGCCAAGAGACAAAGGGGAAGGCGACUUAACAAACUGGUGAAGAGUUGAAUCUCGUUUUGUUAGGUGAGGUUGUAAGAUGCUGAUGGACUCAGAACGGUGCCGUUUCUCUAUAUUACUAUAACAUCGAUAAACCAAACCAAAUUGGUGCGAUCUAAACCAAAAGCAAUAAGUGAUUUGAACUUCCUAAUCAAAUUAUUGAUUAGUUUAAUUGGUUUAACUGGUUCGUUGAGUCUUUGACUUUGUAUGGUUGACCAAAGUGCAGUUCUCUCAUCCUAUCAGAGACAAUGGCGGACCCAGCAUUAAUUUUAAUUUUAAGGGGGUUCAAUACAUAACUAAAGAAAAAAAUUAAAAUGUGAAAUGGGGUCAAGGAGGGAUCGAACCUGAAUUUAAGGGGUGUGAACAGGCAAAAUUAACCAUCGAAGCUAUUUAAUUUCCAUGACUUCUAUUGGAUGUCAUAUGAUCUUCUUCUUCCCUUUGUGGGUCCGCCACUGAUCAGAGACAAACCUUACCAAAAAUUCACUUUUUUUCUUUUAACUUACACAAUUUGUAAACAACAAAAAAUGUUGAGAGCAAAAAGAACAAAACAGUUUCAAACGGUCAAAAAGAAUUCCACAGUCUAUGGCUUCUUAUGGUGCUUUUAUGGAUCAAGUACUAUAGUAACUUUUGUCAGAUAGAUAAAGAGACUCUGAAUUUGAGGCUUUCAAUGUUUCGUGAAUCCGAAGGUGAGGAAAACGGAAAUAGACUAUCAGUGAACUUUCAAAUGUGUUAUUGGUGAUAAUAUAAGCAAAGGCUUCCUUGUAAGGAUGCGAUAUAACCAAAUCACAUUGUUAGCUUUGGCCUCUUCGAAAGUGUAGACUCAUUACCCGGUUGCUUCCAAAUAAUAACAAGAGGCAUCUGAGAGGCUUUAUGAGUUUACUCCCAAUCUUUUCACAUUGUGAACUAGCUAUUGCUUAGGUCUCCUCACUGUCGAGCAUUAGUAUUUGGAAUACAGUUAUACAACACAAACCAAUUUCGUCAGUUUCUUUUGUUAAAUUGAUUGUUGAUGAUGCUCCACUUUAUGGUCAAUGCGAUUAUGGAAUCCUUAAGGUUUCAAAUAGAAAGGAGCUGCUUCAUCUAUUUUAUCAAAGAAGCGGUUAGGCUUUUGUAGUUUAGGCUGAUAUUCAUUUCUAAUCGACAUUUUCUUUGUACUAUGUUGUGUAUACAAUUAUACAAAGACUUGUAGUAUAGUUGUCACUCUUAAGCUCUAAUGUAUAAACUACAGUAUAACUUAGUCAACACAAGACUUUGUAAGAGUAUAGUUUGUUAAGAACAAGGAUAUGAUAUGCAAAUUACAAUUUAACUCAGUCCUGGUUAGAAUGAUAAUCGUAAUAGCUAUAGAACCUGAUAUCAAUCUCAAGAUUAACUCAUGCAGCAGAGGUUGUAAGAUGACACAAGACAUUGGAACAACAUAGCUUAUACUUUCAAUCCUCAAAGAAGAAUAAUCAAAAGUGAAACUUUGAAUAAGAAAAUCCCAGCAAACACAGAUUCGAAGCACGAGUUCGAUCUCGCAUUAUCAUAAUCUAGUUGAUUCCAUCCAGAGCGUAUAAAAAGCAUAGAUAAAGCAUUCGAAAACACAGCUACUGAAAAACAUAAAAAAGAUCCGGAGACUUACGCCAUUACUAAUGUGGACAUGAUACCAAUAAACUUUUUAGGUGUGAAAAUAGUGCAUUUGGAGCUGAACCAAAAGCCUAACUACACUAAAUCUUUUCUACAUUUUGAUGUAUCUAUACAAAGAAUAUGUCUCAAAGACAAUUUUAUAAUAAAACACAUCAUGAUUGAGAAUCAUUGGAAUCUAAGAGCAUAAUUAUUGUUGAAAUACUCUAUAAUAUCUAUUGUGAUGAAAUAUUAAUAACUUUAUAAUAUCUUAGUAUCUAAAUAACUUUUUUAAAACCCUAAAUCAAUAAAAAGUUAACAUAUAUACAUACGUAUCUCAUACCUUUUUUUAGAAUAUCUCUACUAAGAUACAUAUUUUGCUUACAAUUUUUUUUUUUGUUUUCUAAUUCUUUUUGUUAUUAUAUUGUGUAGAUACUCUCCAGUAAUUCGUAACUUUGUUGUAGAAAUAAUAGUGUAAGCUUUCAACUGACUUCAUAUGUUGUGAAUUUUCUAUCUCUAAUAAUACCUUUUUCAAGAUUCAUAUGUUGUGAAUUUUCUAUCUUUAAUAAUACUCUUUUCACAGUUUCUUGAAGGGUGUCAUCGUGGACCUGAUUAUUGUAUUUUUUCCUACAUUUUACCUUUGAGUAUUUAUAUCUUUUUCUCUAGAUUUUGGUUUUUAUUGGGCUCAUACUUCUAACUCAUGCAUAUGCUGAAUUUGCAUCUUCCCAACUUUUUUGAAUUGCAUAUCCUGAUUGGGAAUUUGCAUCCUUUUUUUGAAUUUGCAUCUUCCCAACUUUUGCAUGGGAAUUGCGGAAUUGCAAAAGUGAGGAGUAAAGAGAUAAGUAGAGUCAGAUGGAGCUCUACUCAAGUUAUUAGGAGUCGCGUGGGUAGUACGAAAUCAUAGAGGUGUUGUGAUCUGCCAUAGCAGGAGACCCUUUUUAGAGGUAAUUAAUAGGGAAGAGGCCACGUUUGCUACAAUACUAUGGGCAGUGGAGAGUAUGGUCAACUUACGCUUCAAUAAAAAAUCAUAAUGGCAGGUGAGUAUGAUGAUUUAUUUGACGCGGCAUCUCGUCCGCAAGCGUGGCCAGCCUUUGGUUUUCAGGUAGAGGAGAUUAAGCUGAAACUGUAAGGCAUAGAACAGUAUUAGUUGUUGGUUGUGAAAAAAGAAGCAAAUAGAGAGGCUACUUUCAUCACUCAAAGUGUUACAAGACAAAGACAGGUGCAAUCUUACGUCGCACAAUGACAUCCGGCUUGGCUAUUUGAGCUCUUUGUGAAUGAAAACCGCCACCUCUAAUGGUUGCUUUUUGUUGAUUGUUGUGGUCCUUGUCACUAACUGGUUUAAGAGAGAGGGCUGUGCUUUUGAGUUUGUUAUUAGGUCCCAAGAUAGCUUGGGAAGUUGUAUUGAAUCAUUUACAUAUAAUGAAUUUAAGAGGGGAAGAAAACAAGAUAGGUUUACGGUUUGUGUAACAAGGACAAGGCUUCAACAUGUUUACAUGUAAUUUUUUCGUGAGGUUAUAAGAGAGCCGAUUGGACUCAGAACGGUGCCGUUUUCCUCUAUGUUAUUGAUAAACCAAACCGAAUUGGUACGAUCUAAACCAAACCGAGCAAGACAUUUGAAUACAAAACAACAAAUAUUUCUCUCAUCCCAUCACCUUACCAAAGACUUGUUUUUUUUUUCUUUCUUAUCUACACAAUCUGAAUACAAAACAACAAAUAUUGUUUUGAAACAAGUUGAGGUAUCUUUGGAGCAAAAAGAACAAAAUAGUGUAUUUUGGUCAAGAAGACCAUUCCUCAGUCUCUUAACAUAUAAAGAAAGAUGAGACUAUAAAUUGUGAACUAUGAGAGAUUUAAUUAGCUUUUUAUUAAUUUUUGCGGACUAUUUCAUAUAUAUUUGGAUAUUAAUACACAUCAAAUUUUGAAUUCUAAUGUUUUGUAAAUUAUUUAUGAUCAUGUAUUGUAUAGUAGCAGUAUAUAUAGAUAAUAUAUCACAAAAGAUAAUAUAACAACAUAUGUUUUUUUUUCAAACGAAGAUUCUUUGAAAGCUUUUUAGUCUAUCCACUCAAACAAAUUAAAUCAACCAAUAAAAUUGUAAGAAAAACAUGUCAUUUAUAUUAAUAAAAUUUUAUAAAAAAACAAUAAAUAUGAAAAAUAAUAUUAUAUAUUUUUUGAAAUUUCAUUAUUUUAAAUAACCUUAUAUUCAAAAAAUCUAUAAGAUAAAAAUCAUUUAACAGAAGUUCACUUGAUAAAUAGAUAAAAUCUUUAAAAAAUUAGAAAAGUCGACAAACCUGGAGUUUAUGAUUCCGGCAGGAGAGGUAUUCUUUACUGCGCUCUAGCAACAAGACAGCUAGCCGAUCAGUCGUAACUGCCCCCGACAAGCAAAAUCUUAAAACACUUAAAACUCUAAAAAUUUAUAUAUGUCAAAAUAUAGUAUUGUAAAUAUAUAAAUAAUGAUAAUCAUAAAAAUUAUAAUUAUACAUCUGUCACAAAUAUUUGUUUUUGUUUGUUGAGUUUUCAAAAUCCAUGCAAAUAUGGCUUCAAAUGGUGAGAAAGAUAAACACUAGCAUCCCCUUAUUAUUAAAAAAGAAACAUUUAAAAAAAAAAAACCUAAUUUUAUGUAUUAUUAACAAAUUUGCCAUCAACCCUUUAUUCAUUAUAUCACUUAUCAUUUAUUAUAUCAUUAAUCAAAAUAUAUUAGUUUAAAUGUGUUCCCAUCAGAUUCUUAAUUGGUCAUACAUAUAGAAACCAACUAAUAGAUCGUAUAUGAAAUUUAUUAUAUCUUAUAUCUGAUAAAUAUAAUCGUAUUUGCAUUAAAAAAUAAACUGUAUUAAAAAUGUAUUUGGCAUGCACAUCCAUUCAAAUUCUUACAUAAUGAUGUCCAAUAAAUCACAAAGAAAAAAAGAUCAAACUAUUGUCAUCUUUCUAUUAUCUUAUUUUAUGUUUUUUUGUAAGAUAAUGUACAACAAAUUGAAAUAUUUAAAAGUUUGGAAAUGAAAAAUAUUAUAGUAUAAAUCUCUAGUUGUAAUAAACGAAUACUAAGUAACAAAAGAAAAACUACAUGAUUUAAAUGGUCACAUUCUCAACUAACAGUAACAUCAUUUAUUAAUCAUCUUAUAUUUUGGAACUCAGAAAAUAACUUUUUGUACAUAAUCAUCCUGUUUUAAGAUUAGAAAAUAUAUAUACUUUGUCAACUUUUCAUUGAAAUGUUAAAAACAACAUUUUUGUAUAAAAUAGAGUAGCAUGUUUUAGUCAUAAAUUAACGAUGGUCAUCUUGUUGACCAACAUAAUACUGUAUCUAAUGAUUUGUGGCCUGGGGCGUUCGGGUAUCCGUUGGUGUUCGAAUCGGGUUUUUCGGGUUUUCGGGUUUAUGCUCCUAGAUUCCAUACUAGAAUUUUAUUAGUACGGAUCAGGUUCGGAUAAUAACACUUCGGGUUCGGUUCAAAAUUGUAUUACGUCCUAAAACCCAUAGAUUAAUCAUAUAUCGUACGGAUUCGGGUUAUAUCGGUUCGGUUCGGAUAUAACCAAAGUAAAAAACAAUAAUUUUGAAGCAAAACAUAAAGAAAAAUAUCAAAAUUAAAUAAAAAUUAAUCUAUCACACAUAAAAUUAAUAAAAUAACAAUAAAUUAUUAAAUCAAGCAUGAAAACAAACAUCAUUUGUAAACAAUAUAUAUUGCCUUAGAGAGAGUAUACUUUUUAUUUCAAUGAGCAAAUUAUAAAAUACUUAUUUAUAACUAAUUGUGUACUUACAACAUUUAUUAAAGCUGUAAUAUUUAUUAUUAUAUAUCAUAUUACCACAAAUAUUGAAUUUAAUAAUUGAAAUAGUUAUAUAUAUUUUAAAAUAUUUAUAUUGACUAUUAAUUUUAGAUUUUUCGGGUUACUCGUUCGGGUUCGGUUAAUAACACUUGAGUUCAGAUAGUUUUUGUACCACCCUACAAGACCCGUUCAGGUAUUUUUACAUUUCGGAUCGGAUAACGGAUCGGAUAACGGAUCGGGUUUUUCGGUUCGGGUUAAGUUCGGAUUUCGGGUUCCGGAUUUUAUGCCCAAGCCUAAUUGUAUCCAAUGAUUUGCUUAUUUGCUCUUUUUUUUCAGUUUGUAGAGUACAGUAAAAAAAGAGGUACAAUAAUACUCCUUUUCUAUAUAUGUAUGGAUCUAAAGAAGGUGAGGUGCACUUGCUUCCAAGAAUUUUAUAACAUUUAUACAUGGUUAAAGUUAAUUUCGGAUAACUGAAGAGAAUGAAUUCCUUUUAUUUGCACACGAAAAAAUAAAGAAUUCGAUGCCUGAAGGCCCUGAACAUUGAAAAAUGAGAAAUUGCAUUGAAAUGGUAAAAAAAAAAACUAUUUCUAAUACCGUAUUUUUUUUAUAAUUAGGCAAUAUUUAAAAACAAUUCUAAUAUCUUAUUAAUAUUUUUAUAAAAACACUAUUUUUUACUUUCUUAAAUAAUUCAUUUAUUGAUUAUCAUCAAAAUCACUCAUAAAAAAAUAAUAUCUGAUUAGCCCUUCAUAACAAACGUGGUCAAUAAUAAGAGGUGAUGUCAAAAGAUAUAUUUUUUGUCAAUAUAGUUUUCUGUAUCUUUUACCUUUUUAAGAAUUUUUUUAUGAAUCAAUGAAAUAUCAAACUGUCAUAAAAAAGCCACACAAAAUCACACAAUAUUUUACUAAUAUGAUGGUCUUAGAAAAAUAAUUUAAGAUUUUGUAUUUUUUUACACAAGCAGGAUAUAUUUGAAAGUUCUAAAUUUAUCAAAUGAAAUGCUUAUCGUGAUUUAAGUACCUAUGGAAAGUUGAAAUUUCCCACCAUUCUUUCUGUAAAUUAAAUGGUGAUAUCUAAGUUUGAAUUUAAUUUUACUAAAAUUUCAAGAAUGAACACGGCCCUAGUUAAAAAAAAAGAAUAAAUAUUACCCAAAUAAGAAAACAGUUCGCUCGUCAAAGUAAAAAUCUAUUUGCAAUUCUAUAAAGUAAAUUAGGGGUAGGCGUUCGGGUUCGGAUCAGGUAUGUUAGAUUUUCGGGUAUUUUGGUAUAGAGGUGUAGAUCCUGUUCGGGUAUUUCUGUACUUCGGAUCAGGAUCGGGUAUUUUUGGUUCGGAUUCGGUUAUUUCGGAUCGGAUUCAGAUAUUUAGAAGUUGAAUAAAAUAAUUAAAUUUUUUAUUUCUCAAAUUUCUUGUAUCUAAAAAUAUAACUUUCAUUUAACUAUUUUUUAUUUUUAAUAGAUUGAAUGGUUAAUAGAUUUAGACAUUACAUUUUGAAACUAAAAAUACAUUAAUUUGGUUGUUGUUUUUAAAUUUUUGAGGUAACUUUUUCUUAAUUUUUGAAAUAAAAAGCUUGACAUGCAUUUUAAGUGUAGUAUCAAUAUAAAUAUUUUAUAUAAAAUAAGAGAUGUAAACUAGAAAUAUAAAGUUAAUUAUACAUAUGUUCGGUUAUCUUCGGAUAUCUAUUCGGGGUCGGAUACUACCCGUUCGGAUUCGGAUAUCCAAUCUCUUCUAAUUCAAUACCCGUUCGGAUAUUUUGCUACUUCGGUUCGGAUUUCGGUUUGGUUUUUCGGAUCGGGUUCGGAUGCGGCUUCGGAUAUCGGGUAAAAUGCCUACCCUAAAGUAAAUGAUGAAAUCUUAAAAAUACUAAAAUAUCUUCAACAUUAAGGUGUACACGUCCGAUUAAAUAAUCCACCGAUCAAAAUACAUUUCAGUGCCACCUCCCUUAUGAAUUACCAUAUCAAUUUUAUAUCAGUACUAAUCAAGAGAUUUGCGCUUCUCCGGAAACGAUUAAUGAUAAAGACCUUUUUGCCUUUCUUCUUCCAAAACGAACAACUUCCAGGCUUAUAACUCUUAUUUUUGCUUUGGCACUUUCCAAACUUUUUUUUUUGUUUCAGAUUUCUAAUUAUAACAUUGAUUCUUGAAAUCACCUCCUUUGGUAAAAAAAGAAAGAAUUGAUGGUUGAUGAGUCUCACAGAGUAAUCGUUACUUUAUGUUUCUCCAGAUUUUUCUUGCUGAUGAGUGAUGGUCGUGUAAUUCAUAUUCAUGUCCUCAUAAUCAGCUUUGCAUCCACAAGAAUCUUCCUUCGAAUAAUCUGAGAGCAACCGAUGCAUAUAUUUUGAGGAUUUUCCCCAAAUCUUAUUUAUCUUCUACCCGUUGGUAGAGUAGGAGAAUCUCAUGUUUGUUAUCUGAAUUAGGAGACCAAAGCAGAGGAAGAACUUGAACGGAAGAAAAGAAGGAUGUCAAGGUUUGGUUUGAUUUUUUUUUUGGUUCUCUUCAAAUGGUAAGAAUCAACGUAGUUAGGAUGAGCCCAAAGUUGUUCUGAUCCAGGUUUUUCAGGAGGUUAAAGAGGAAGAUCUUGAGGAUUUUUUUAUCAGACAUGCGUAUUUGGAUCCAUGGAAAAUCAGCAGAUGUUUUGUAAAGAUGUUACAAGACACUAGAACUAACUGAUUCCAUACAGACAAGAACAAGACAUAAUGAGAAACAACAUAAAUAAACUUUCAAUUCUUAAACAAAAGGUUAUUGCUAAAUAAACUUUCAAUUAUAAAACACCAAUCUAUUGUCGUUCUUACGGUUUGUUCUCUUUUUUCUUUUUUUUUUUUCGAACCCAAUGUUAUGAUAUUUAUCAAACAAAUAACAAAACUUGUUUGGUGGUAAUUAACGUUGACAUGCUCUUGUGUUGUUCAUGUACAAAACAGACAGAGCAAAGUACAAGGCUACUGGCCUGCAAGAAACUGGACGAAAAAGUAUGACAUGGGCUAACAAACAAAACAUUUGUUUGCUUCAGCAACAAGUUAUUUUUUUAAGCCGUACUCUUGUCUUGUUUUUAACUUCAAAUAAUAAGCUCAAAGUGUCCUUAUUGUCCGUUUGUACGAUAUGUUUAUGGUUUUUAUUCCUUAAUUUGACAAUGGAAGCUUUUAUUCUUGAAGGUAUGUUUGCUAAUAUGUAUAUCGUUCAUUAUAAGUUUAUUUAAGCUUGGUUGGUUCAUUAUGCAUGUUGUCCGUUCAUUGUCUGAUCUUUAUGCAUAUCGUCUCGGUCUACAUAAAACACCGGUUGGUUCAGGACAUCGUGUUCACUUUUUGGUAAAAUAAACCCGACAAAUAUUAACUAUGAGUGGUCCAAGGCUUAAAAAUGCCACCAACUCAACCACAGUGAAUUUUUCGCACACUCUCGAUAAGUGUGUCUAGUCUAGUCAAGAUUAGAAUAAGUAUAGUUUUUAGAAUCUAUCGAAUCUUCAUUUAAGUCUUGCAUAUGUUUAGAGUCAUGUCUAUUCAUGUGGGGAUUGUUGGACCUAAUUAUUAAAGACUAAUGGCUAAAUUAAUAAUAGGCAAAUCUGUGAAUACAAAUGGGCCUCGGCCUUAUGUGUUUUAAUGAAAGAAAGGGGAGAGAGAGAUGAAGGCUCUCCACGCGAGCCGCCACUGUCCGGCCGGCUCUGCUGGCGUGGGCAUGUGCUUGGGCGUGGGAGUGUACUUGGGCUUGAUCUUGGGUCUUGGGUCUUGGUGGAAGGCCUCCGGGCCAAUAAGAUUCUUUUUGGACCAAGUUAAGCUCUAACGUUUUUUACCCAUUUAAUACUCAAAAAACAACAUGAUGUUUGUGUUUAAACGACAUGUAGUUCGUCUUAAAACAACAUGAAAUUUAUCUGUUCGCAAAAGAUCAGAACGAGUCAACAACAUAAGAAAAUCUUGCAGAGAAAGUUUCUCAACUCUCCACUCCCGAGAUUUCAGAGAUUUCGCUAACAUGCUUCGCCAGUUACGAAAUUCAAACUCUCAUUUCUUCUUUAAAUACCCGUCUUCUCUUCUUUAUUAUUUACUACUUUUUGUAUCGAAACCUUUUUCACUGCGAGAAACAUCCAGGAAAAAUUCCUUGGCGUAAGUAGUUCGAGAGUGUUUCAUAACUCAAUAGUUCGUACAUGUUGUUCACAAGUGCCGCGUGGUAAGCUACCAUGGUUUUUUCUUAGGACUCAUAUUCGUAUAGAUCUGCCGCACUAACAGAACGACUAUUCAAAGUUAAGGAAAGAGGUUCUUCUCGACUCUAUGAUUUCAUUUUCGUUUUGUUUUUGAAUCGUGUAUAUUUUUCUUAACAUAGUUUUUUACUAUAUCGUUUGUUUUGAUCCGGUAUUCCGGGUUGUACAAUUAGGUCCCAAGAUAGGUUGGGAAGUUGUAUUGAAUCCUUUAACAUAUAAUGAAUUUAAGAGGGGAAGAAAAGAAGAUAGGUUUACGGUUUGUGUAACAAGGACAAGGCUUCAACAUGUUUACAUGUAAUUUUUUCGGGAGGUUAUAAGAGAGCCGAUGGGACUCAGAACGGUGCCGUUUUGCUCUAUGUUAUUGAUAAACCAAACCGAAUUGGUACGUUCUAAACCAAACCGAGCAAGACAUUUGAAAUUUCGGAUCGUAAUUUUUGAUUGGUUUAAUUGGGUUGUUGAGUCUUGGCCUUUUAUAAUCGGACCAAAGUGCAUUUCUCUCAUGGGUAUAGAGGAAGAGAUGGUUGAGAUGUUGCAAAUAGGUUUGGCUUGUGGUGACUUGAAGCCACAAGAUCGACCUAGUUCAGCAGAUGUUUUGUAAAGAUGGUACAAGAAGACACUCGAACACUUGAUGCAUAAAGAGAAACAACAUAAAUAAACUUUCAAUUCUUAAUCAAAAGCAUCACUGGUUCUUGCUAAAUGAACAUUAUCAUAAACUAACUGAUUCCAUACAGACAAGAACCAUAGAGAACUUAGUUACUGAACAUAAAGACUAUCUAACGAAUAAGCCAACCCGGAGAAGAUCGGAAAGGAUUGAUUGAUCUGGUUUUGACGAAGAUGAUAGAUGAAAUAGGAGGAUCAGACAGGGCUAAGGAGUUGGAAGAGAUGUGGCUUAGGAUCGGAGUUCAUGCCGAUGACGAUGAUGAGAGGGAUGAAGCCGUAGUGAGUCGCGACUUUGGCCUUCUUCAGAGACCAAUUGGUCCAUUCCUUGAGGAGCUCCAACUUGGGAUAGGAGGAAGCUCCCGUCGAUCCUUUCCCUUUUCCUUUGAGCGAUUCCAUGGAUUCCGAUCUUAGAGGUUCUCUUCUCUGUCAAAAGUCUAUAGAGAUGCGCGUCUGCUGAGAUUUUU